RNAcentral lists this long non-coding RNA (49180 nucleotides) under Capsicum annuum. RNAcentral's name for it is "long non-coding RNA (CANN_LNC004412)". The stretch from base 26562 to 26633 matches the Rfam family "tRNA". The record is from RNAcentral. Lineage: Eukaryota; Viridiplantae; Streptophyta; Magnoliopsida; Solanales; Solanaceae.
AACCACCAUCACUAGACACACAAGAUUCAAGUAAUUCCAAUAAAUAUCUUCAGAGUAGAGAAGAAAGAGGAAACCAAAGAGAACCACCAUUGCUACUGUUGGAAUAAAACUAGCAGAAAGGGCAAAAGGACUCGCAGUUAGCACAUGCAGACUGUUGCAGGAAGCCAAAGAGACGUGAAACAAGUAUCAAGGCCACCGGCAAGAUAAAAGUUAUUUCAUAGUUGAUGAGCCACAUUCAGCCAGACAGUGGGACAUUUGAAAAAAAGCAGCUAAUAUAGUUUGGUCAGAUAAAGCAACCAACCCUAAGCCUCUAACUCUCAAGUGAUCCUUCAUAACAGCCUGGUUAUUGUCAUAUACAAAAGGUAUUUGUCUAGAUCCAGUUUUAAUGACCCGUUAGUACUCAAAGUUACUUCUACAUUUCCAACAUUAAAAAAUAACCGCAUUGGUAACAGAUUGUGGCGAUCAAUUCAACAUUAACAAGCAAAACUAGGCUAUAUACUUACUGUUCCUUCAAGCAUCUUCAACAAUGCCUGCUGGACGCCCUCUCCGGAGACAUCUCUACUAAUGUUGAGGCUUUCUGCCUGGAAAUAUCAGUAUAAGAGGAAUCAGCUAAACUGACUCAUGAGAAGUCACUAGAGAAGUUUAAUCUUAAAAAAAGAAAAACAAACUCUCAAUAAGUGACUAACCUUUUUCGUGAUCUUGUCAACUUCAUCAAUAUACACUAUGCCUUGCUGAGCAGCUGCUACAUUAUAGUCAGCAACCUGCAAUAAAACCAGAUAAGAGUAAUUAAAUGAUAACUCAUAUCAAGGCUAGAAAUCACUGAAAGGACACGCAAAGUCACGAGUUCUGAUUAAGAAGCAAGAGCACUUCACAAGUAGUAACCCCUUGUCUUUCCUCCAUUUGUAAGUUCGCUUAGUUAGAUAUUGCAGUGAUUUCUGGAGAAAAUGUGAGUUUUGUAUGAUAUGGAAAUAGUUAAGACGCAUAAAACAGAAGAAAUUAUAGAAACAGAAGAAAAAAGGUUGCAGCUGGUACUAUAAACUUCUGGCCACCUCAUUGCUAAGGGACGAAAGAUCCUACAUCUACUCCUUGUACUAAAUGUUUUGUUGUAGAAAGUUCAAAAAGCUUUGGUAAAAUAGGAAAUAAACUAGACCAUUUUCUUAUAUUCAGAAGCUUCAUCUGUCACAUUCUGCAAAAUCAUCAGAUAGACAGUAAUCUGCAUUAUAUCCCAAAAGCAAGUUUUAAAGCAGAGAUAUAAAUUGGCAAGGAUGCUACGAUAACAAUGAUAACCCCCCCGCCCAAGAAAAAAAGCUCAAGACAAAGAAAAAGAGAACAGGAAUAGAACAAUAAAUUAAGAUUAUAGGCUUAACAGGUUUAGUACUUACUGUGAGGAGCUUAUAUAGAAUAGAUUCCACAUCUUCCCCAACAUAUCCUGCCUGCAGACAAAAGUAUUAUCAUUGACUGGAUUUCUAAGAACAAGUAUACCAUUAAACUGAAACCCACAGCUUCAGGACAAUUAUCAAGGAAACAUUAUUUUUAUGGGACACUUGCCAAUAUGUACAGUUCGGCCAAACUUAUUUACCAAUAUGGCUAAAAUAGACAAAACCUAUACACUGAUUAUAUAUUUUGUACUUAAAUAUACGAAACUUAUACAUUUGUGGGCUAUUUUGUAAACUAGAUUACCCAAAGGCAUUGGACUGUAUAGAUCCCUACUUUUAAUGAUACCAUCAUGUUGUUUAUGCUACUCUACUUUUAUGAAAGACACCAACAAUUAAGCUCUGCAAACAGGGAAAGCAAGGAAUAGUAAACAUGCUCAGACCAAAUUGACCUAGACACCAGGAAAUUCUAGUUAUAUGAUCUCAAGAUAGACUUUAACUAACAGUGGCAUCUCAUUUCAUGAUAGCCUAAAGUUCGGAUACCAAGUGUCAUCGAUCUAUACACAUGCUUAGGUGUCAAUAGUCUUGGAAUGUCAAAAUCAAGAACAGCCUAUCUACUUUUGUCUUCGGGCUACUCAUGAACUUCCACAGCUCCAGAAAGUUGAACCGGGAAAUUUGGGUUUGCCUAAUCAUCAUUAGAGCAGCUAUUCUUUAUUCUCCAUCUUCUUACAACCUCACUUCAUCAACUUCUUUUUUCAUCUUUCUCAGUUCAGCUUCUACGGAGAAUCUUUACCAUGAUUUUGUCCCCACAAAAGUUCCUCAUGCGCACCAAUCUACUACAGUCCUCAAUGCCAACACUACUGCUCAAUAAACUCUCACCUUCAAUUGAUGAAAACAGGUCUCUUCCAUUCUACAUUUACACUGAAACAAACUGCAAAACCAGCUCAGCUGUAGCUCCAAAAGAGCUAAUUUAUAUUUCUCACCAUCUCCAAUGGUCAAAUUUUAAACAAGUUAACAACAACAUACGCAGUCUAUUCCCGCAAGUGUGAUCUCGGGAGGGUGGGCUGUGUGCAGACCUUACCCCCGCCCCCUCAAUUUGUGGGGUAGAUAGGUUGUUUCUGAAAGAUCCUCAGCUUAAGAAAAUUUCAAAGAAUUUCACACACACAAUAUAUGUGCAAGAGUAACAAAUAUGUAAGGGAGAAAUUAUGUAUUAAAAUAUUGAAAUAAGAAAGUUGGAUUUUAAGGACAGUGUUUGACAUAAUUUACAUUAAGGUAACGAGAUUUACAGAAAUAUUGGUUCUAUUGAAAGAUUAUUAAGCUGAGAGUUGUUUCCUAUCUCUACCAAGGUGACAGGAUGACAACAUACCUGAGUUAGUGUUGUAGCAUCUGCUAUUACAAAGGGAACAUUCACCAAUCGAGCCAAGGUCUUGGCAAGUAAAGUUUUCCCUGUCCUUGAUAUGACACAAAGACUCAAGUGAAAAAGUAAUUUUAUUAAAACUAAAGAUCACACUACUAACAAUGAUAAUGACAUUGUUAGAGCUCUACCCAUUCACACCUUCCCCUCCAAUGAAAAAAGCAGGGGGCCAAGAUACUUUGAUGGGCUAAAAGGAUGAAAGAUAAAAGAGAAAUAUGCAUUUAAAUUACUUUAUCAUUGGUCUUAACGCAAAGCUCACGUGGCACUCUCUUCAUCAUGGUUUUAACUUUCAUAUACUUCACCCAAAAAAAAAAACACUUUCAUAUACACAGUCAAAUAUUAUCUACAUAUCAGUGCACAUGCAUAGAGUUAUUUGACAUUAUGAAGCAAAUGAUGAGCAUUAGCUAGAGACCAUCAUAUCACCACUAUAAGUAAAUAGCACCUCACAGUAUCUUCUGAAAAACUUCACAACUAAAAAGAAAAAGAAAGCGGGAGAAGGAGGGGGGGAUUUCUCUGUCGGUGAAUCUAAAGUACCAUACUUCAAAGGUAUGUUUAUUUAAAAUGCUUCUAUACCACAUUUUAGACCUCAAGAACAGCAGUGACAAUUAUAAAGAUUACCUGAACCUGUUGGCCCCAUUAAAAGGAUGUUACUCUUCUCAAGCUCCACGGAUUCAUGUUCUACUCCAUCUGUUUUUUCACUACUGUCAUUUGCAGCAGGCCUAGGUACCACAUUUUAACAAUAGCAUUAGAAGAAUAGGUAACCACUUAAGUGAAGAGCCAUUAACUCAUUAUGCGGGGAGAGGACUGGUGAAAAAAUAUCGGAAGUUCAAAACUAACCACUUAUGUGAAGAGUCAUUAUAUAUUCUCUUGUAAUGAUUAUAUACAGCGACAGACAGAACCUGCACAAUCACAAAAUGAUAAAGAAAGUCACUCUAGCAGCUCAAAAAUAGUUUCCUUUACUAGAUCUCAAGCACCCUAUGACACAAACUGAGCUCAUUUAUUCACGUUGUAACCAAUAAAGCAAGCAUAAAAUCAUCAAGGUAUAAAAGGGCAGCCAAGUGUGCACUAAAGCUCCCGCUAUGUGCAGGGUCGGAGGAAGGGCCGGACCACAAGUGUCUAUCGUGCGCAGCCUUGCAGCAACUUUACCUGUUACCAAGGCUCCCCUUCAUUUAUCUUAUCUAUGACUCAAACGGUACCCAGAACUCCAAAAAAGAUUACCUUUUUAGCUCUCUCCUGUCCAAUUACAAACUUAUCAAGUCCUUUACACAAUUGCUUUGGAGUAGGAAAUUGGGUACCCAAAUUGGACCCACCCCAAGACCCAUCUUUCGACCCUGACCCAAACCCACUUCCAGAACCCGACCCGGUACCUUCGCCUUCACCCACCUGAACAAACUUCACACCAGGACGAACCACAAUUCCUUCACCAGGUUGUUGCCAAAUCUCAGGAGGUUCACCAUAAUUACUACCAGACAUACUAAUUUUCUCUUUAGAACUCUUCUUCCUAUUGGAAUUCUUAAAAUUAUCACAACAUCGGUCGACAAAUUCACCGCGAAACGAAACAGGCUUGAAUAAAGAAGAAGUAUGAGCACCACCAGAAUUUGAAUUUGUAAGCAAAUUGUCCCAUUUGGUUCGAUUACACAAACGACCGGUGUGAAAAUCAUUGAUGAUAAAGUAUCUGAAGUGGGUAAUAGCCAUAGAGGCUGAUGAUUUCGAUCUAAGUGCAGCUGCUGCCAUAUUGACUAAAACUUCAAUAAGGGGAAAACAAGAAAAGUGAAAUUUCAAGAUUCUGACAAGACAAUUUCAAGAUUGGAUUUUUGUCGGAAAAGAGGAGACUUUUGUGUCCAUCAGAGAGAAUUGAGGGAAUUUUAGCUAAGGGAGAUUUUGAGGAUUUUUCUAGAGGAACAGAGAAGGGUAUUAAAUUGGAGUAAUAAUAAUAUCUAAAAGAGUGAAAGAAGGCAAAAGAAGUCGAAGUUACUUUGGGGAAUAUCUAUUCUUGGCGCAUUCUGUCCUACUGUCCUACAUGAAGUAAGGAACGAUGUCGUAAGUCACUUGGUUUCUUGUCAUUCCUUCCUUUUGGUGGGUCGAGGGGGGUUGAAAGGUAGGUAAGUUCAUCUUCAUUUGAAUCAAACAUUACUUGUAAGCUUCAUUCAGAUUCUCUCUCUUUUAUCAAAUUUGAGAUUUUUACAUCUUUUGAAAAUUAUCAUGUUCGGAUUAGGAAAGAAGAUUAGCAGCAAAUCAAAUGUGCAGCUGUUAGUGGGUAGGACUUUGUCCUAACUAGCAAUCAUAGUGUUAUGUUUGGAGUUUAUUGUUGUUUCAUUACUACGUUUGUAUUGAGUUACUCUCUAUUGUUUCUGGUACUCUAUUACAUCUUUUCUAAAUUAUUUUUUUAUUUGAAGCCAAAGUCUAUUGAAAAUAAUCUAUCUACCUCACCUCUGAGGUAGUGACGGGAGCGAACCUCUAUACUUUUUUUGGUGCUCCAACACCCGUUAAAUCCGAUACAGACUAGAUCUAAUUACAUUAAAAAAAAGUAUAAAAAUUGAUAGAAGCCUCAAAAAAGCACUCAGAAAACCACGAAGAUAAACUGGAUGCUUUAAUUUUCUAGCGAAAUCUUAAAGUUUUGAACAUCAAUAUAUGUGUUCGAACCUCACGAGCACCCACGACGUCUAAAUUUUGAAUCCGCUACUGAUAAUCUUUCCAAACUUCACUUUCUAUGAAUACACGAGUGGUAUGUUAUUGUUUUCAUAUAUACUAUAUUGAAGAACUGUAUCGACCAAGAGCGGAGGAAGAAAAAGAACAAUUAUCGGUUGAAAUCUUGGAAUUUUCACCCACUUUCAAAGAAAUUAAUCUCUACAAAAGAUUUUUUCGUUAAGAUUAUAUCUAUGCUCUAACUUACUAGGCGCCCGCCCAUCAGCAACUGCAAAUUCGAGAACUUGGUGAACUGAAACUCUAUACAAAAAGGGAAAAUGUACAUCUCUGUCAUGAUACACAUGCUAGAGUAUCAAGAAGUUGUGAGCUAAAAACAUCCUUCUUUUUUUGCUUUAUGCAUUCAAGUAUUAGAAACACACUGGCUUGACUAAUCCGAAAUCUCACCAAGUAAGAUCCCCCAAGAGGGAAAGCGAUCAACAUCAAAGCUUCCUCCGCUCUUAAGGCUCUAACUCGAAAAUUCUGGUUAAGGAUGGAGGAUCUCAUAUAAUCCCACCACCCCCUAAGGAGUUGGAACAAAUAUAUCAGUCUUCUUGAUUCUCUUGUAUUUCCCUCCACCAAUAAAGUAGAAUUUGUCAUAUUUCCUUGAGGAUAAAUAUAUUGCACUUGGAUUGAACAUCAAUGAGAUGUUCUUUCUACUCUUGCAUUUCCUGUGAAAAUGAGUUCGUUACAAGCUUCAAUGAGCCAAAAAGACUUGUAAAUGAACGCCUCAAGGGAUUAUUCUACAGAGACGAAAAAAAGUAAGACAAAAACAGAAAUGCCUCACAAUGCUAUCAGAGAUUAGAAUCAAAAAAAUAUUCUCUAUAGAACUUCAAAAUCCUCAUAUUUAACAGCGGGCUGCAGCCUUUAUUCUUGGUUACUACAGCUGAUGGGUCCUAAAUCCAGGCCUUCUGCAAUAGAGUUCCCAGUUUCGGCAGCAUGUUCUCGCAGUUGCGAUUCAUCACAAGAUAGAGGAGCACUGCCAAAUGAAAUACAAAGUUGUACAUUCCAAGAGUAUGAAUAUUGAAGAGUCAAAUUCCAAGAUGCCUCUAAUCAACCAUUUAACGGUAAGAUUUUAUAUGCGACAGAAAUGCAGGGGUAGGGGAUUCUUCAAUUAUGUACAUUGGUUCUCUACUGACAACUUUUCUCAGGACAAAGAGACAGUAGUUGAAGAGAAACACAAGCUCUGAGAAGGGCCAAAAGAUUCUUAGGCUCGCCACUAUGCAAAGAAAAACUACCACUUUCCUGAGAUUUGGGGAAAAAUCAUUUUAUCUCAGAAGCAAUAACAUGAUGAUUGGGUCAACCGGCGCUCCUCAGACCAACUUAUUGAGUAGAUAUUUAUAUUCAUUCUUUUGUGAACUUCAAAACUUUGUCUAUUGACAUUCCUAUGGGCCUAGAGGCCUAGACAUUGUGGUUCUAUCACCAUGAGCUCUUGAACCAUUUAAUUUAAGGUGUCCGCCUGGAGCUCCAACUGAAAGUUCUGCGUUAUUAUCAAUUACUGCCAUUCAGGAGACAUUUGUGGCUUAUGGUGUGACAUCUAAUUUCACCUAAACUAGUUCAGCUGUCAAAGUAGUGACAGAUUAAAUUUCUAACCCAGUUGGUCAAAGCAGUUGAGGAAUGUAAAGCAUUGACUGAAACUCAGAGCGGUGCACCAAGCAUCCCACAUUCAUGCAGGGUUGGGGGAAGGGCCGCACCCCCUAAAGGGUGUGAUAUAGGCAGCCUAUCCUUUGGGAAGAAAUCCAUAGAAAAAGAGCCGAAAUUUUGUGGAGAAAUCCAGGCAAAAAAUUCUAGAACUUUUUUUUUUUAAUUAAAGUAGAUUCAGUAAAAGGCAUCAAGAAGAUGCAAGGGUAACAAGGAUAGAACAUUUAAGCUCACACAAAAAAAAAAAAGGAUUAGUAGCUUCUCUCAAAAAAAUUAGAAAUUUUAUCUGCACUGCCUACUUCUCCAGUGUAAUAGUUUAGUUCAUUUCUUCUUUAAUAUGCAUCAUUUUCAGCAAUAAACUGACAUCUUUGUUUCUCGUGAAAUGGUGAAUCGAAAAAUAAACUGGUGUUAAUUUUCCUUUUCAGAGAAACAUGGGAAUGCCGUGAAGAACAUGACCACGUAAUGAAAAACUUACUAAGAACAUGAUCAAGUAACAAAAAACUUACUUAAGUUUUACCAACAGGUUUGUGGCUUCAUUAAUAGCAGAACUGGCAGCAUAAAGCCCUAACUUCUUCACCUAUAACAAUAUCAUCAAACAAUCAUUUAUACAAAAGAUAAGCACAUUUGAAGAGCAUGAUUCAUCACAUUUUUUAAGCUCGUGUCUGACCAAAAAUAGUUUCUUACAUUUUACAGUUUCGUACCAGGGAGUAGCAUAAUAGUAUACCCAUCACUUACCGUUAGUCAUCAAGUGCCAAAUGUGAAUCAAGAAACCAGAAAGAAUUAACUGAUCAAGUCUGAUUUCACAUUGAAAAGUGCAGAUUUUUUGUCUACAAUCGUUGAUACCAACAUUUGACUACCGUAAAUGCAGGGUAAAGGACAAGGGAUGGACAAUAUCUUGAUUUGAAUCAUAAACACCAUAAAUGCAGGGUAAAGGACAAUGGAUAGACAAUAUCUUGAUUUGAAUCAUAAAUGCAAAAUGUCAAAUAUGAUUUUCAAGCCAGGUCAAACUCACAGAACACGUAAAGAUCCAGUGGAUGAAGAUUGAACCAACCAAAAAGCGGGAGACAAAGAACCUAAACAUAAAAAACAUGGUGCCAGCGAUACCUUCAAUGCUUAAGCUUUACACUAAACACACACGCACAAUAUUAAGUGUCGUCAUUUAACCAUAAAAACAAGUUCAAGCUAGCAAAUGAUUCUCAAAUCGGGCAUUUCCUAAAUGAGUGAUGCAACACCUGAGCUUAAUUAUGUGAAGAGAUGAAUAAUCCUUCUUACACUUCCUAGCAAAUGUCUUCUAAUUUCUUCAGCAAAGGAAUGUAGUAGCCAGUUAAGCUAUUCAAUUAUAAAAUUGAUUCCGAUCCUGGUGGACUGCCGAGCUACAAGUCCUACGGCCCAAGAGCGGGAUUCUCUAAAAAGCCAAGGUCGUGGGUGGCCAUGUUUUUGGCAUGAAAGAUCCAGCCUUUGUUGACCCCCGGUAGAGCGAGUCUACUUAGCGAACUGGCAGGACUCGGAGUUGGAAGUUCUGUACUCUUUAUGAGAAAGGCAGAUACAAAUGUUGAAAGAACUUUCAUUUAACAUGGCAAAGCUAUGAUAUUGAUGUAUGGGAAAUGUAUCAGACAAAUCUACUGAAACUGUUCAAAUAAAGUCCAUUUGCCAAAGUCGCAUGAAUUGCAAGUCAGCAUAUAGAAGAAAAAUACUUUUUAUAUUUACAAUUCUUCUGAAGAUCCUUUUUUGGAAGAAAAAGUAAAGGAUGGAAUGUAAAAUUAGAAUGAUGGAGAUGCAUUAACGUUUCAUUUAUAUGUUUCAGAAAAGCUUCAGGAUAACAUCCCAUAGCAUCGCUCAUCUUUUUGUUUGGGGUCCUAGCAUCACUCAUCUUUUUGUAUGGGGUCCUAUUCUACUAAGUAGUAACACUCGGUCAAAAUCUUCUUAAGCAGAUUGAAGUAUCUUCCUGUGAUUUACUAAUGCAUAGUGUCGAAAUAGUGUUUAAUUCAGAAUGCAAAAUAACAUUUGUGCUGUGAUAUGCAAUUAAUGAAUGUACCUCCAAUAUAUCUUGCUUAGAUCGGUGGGUUUUGGGGAGCAAGCGAAACUCCUCCGUCAAACGAAUACACUCUUGAACAUUUUCCGGGGAUACAAAGUCAACAGCAACCUUGAUACAUGACUGUCAAAGUAUAAUAGCAGUAGAUGAAUGAAAGAAUCAUUACCAAGUGCAGUACAUCAAGAUCUGAACACAGAUAGAAGCAGCAAUAGGAACAUUUUACCAAACAAAGAAUCAGAAAAUGAAAUAUUGCAGAUGCUAUAUCUCAUGUAGCACUAAAAUGUGUAUAAGGGACUUCAAGUAGUAUUAAUUCCAGAACCCGUUGGAGAAAGAAAGAAAUUGUAAGGACCUGAGAUGAGCUACAGUAUAAAGACACAAAACUGUUCUAGCCAGAGUCAGAUUCAGCUUAGAUCCAAUUCCAAGAAGGGAGAGCUCAGACUUUGCUUCAGUCACAGGCUUCUUAAAUUAUCAAAGCUAGCAGAUAUUUGGCUCAAAGUCAUCAAUCAAAUUCAAAAUUCUAUUACUUAAAUAAUGUUGUACUAUUUUAAGUAUUGUCUUAUAACAUGAUCAUGCACUGUCAAACUAUAACAAGUUUUGAUAUUCUGAAACAUGUUCCUUUUUGCAUAAAAUUGAAGAAUAUAGUGCUUUUAGCCCCAAUAAGUAUGCAGGAGCACCAAAACUUCAUGUUUUGGCCCAGUUUGAGGUGUAACACCGUGAAAUUCGACUGAAACUUAGCUCUUCUCUCCGGGAAGAUACUUGGGUCGAGCAAGGUUCUUUGAAACACCUAUUUCCAGAUCUAUAUUUGUUAAACCAACAAAAGGAUGCUACACUAGGUGAGGUCUGGAGAAAUCAAUGAUGGAAUCUGAGUUUCAGAAGAUUAUUCAAUGACUGGGAAACGGUGAGGGUCAUAGAAUUCUACAAGAUCCUAGAACAAUUCAAAGGGCCAUCAGGAACUAAAGACUGUUUGAUAUGGCAGGGCAAUAAAUAUGGCAAGUUCACAGUAAAGGGGGCCUAUAAGGAAUUCAGCAGUCGUAUAAACCAUUCUGGUAGAUGGAAAACCAAAAUCCCGUUGAAAGUAGCAUGCUUUGUCUGGCUCUUAUCAAAACAAGCAGUCUUAACCCACGAAAACCUUAGUAAAAGAGGUUUUAAGCUUUGCUCAAGACGCUACUUGUGUGGUGAAGAGGUGGAGACAGUAAAUCAUCUUUUCCUACAUUGCAAGACCACCCCGCAGUUAUUGAGGCUAUUUAUCAACAGGAAAGGAAUGUUUUGGAUGAUGCCUGGGAGAAUUGUCCAUGCUUUGUAAAUCUGGGAUAGCUGCAGCAGCCUCUCUAGCCAGAAGGAAAGAUGGAAAAUUAUCCCUGCUUGUAUCUGGUGAGCAGCGUGGAAAAAAAGGAGUCCAAGAUGUUUUGAGGACAAGUACUAUUCUGUUCAGAAGCUGAAAAUGAAUUGAUUGGUGUUGUUCUAUUUUUGGUGUAAACAGGAAUACAUGGAAAAUCUAGACUCAAUCAUGGAUGUUUUAGGAUCCUUGUAGGUUUUUGAUAUAGGAUUAGGCGAUCUUCCCUGUAAUCCCUUUGUAACCAUGGAUACCUGCAGUAUUAAAGCAGGUUUGAUUUUGUGACAUAGUACAAAUGUUAGCUUUUCAAAAAAAAAGUUUAGCUCUUCUCGGUUUGAAUACAUAGUUUCAUUUAUUGCUGGACUGCACCGUCUUUUGCAGGAAAAUUGGAGGUGAUCAGAUAUGCCAGGAAGGAAUCUAUAGUUACUCUAUAGAAACAACUAGCACUGCAAUGAACUAAAAGUAAGGGGGAUUAACAAGAUAAAUCCAUUGGAAAACAUAACCAACACAGACCAUACUACUGAUGAAAUACAAAACCUCUGAUACUACAAAGUAUGCAUAGUAAAGACUGGGACUUUCACCUGUCUAUUUCUCACUUGAUGUGGGCACCCUGCAGGAAUAAAAACAGCUUCACCAAGGUACUGUUCAAACGUCCAGGGCUCAACGUCUGUAGAGCACAAGAGAGAGAACGGUGGGGUUAGAUACCCUUCCAAAGACAUUACCUACUGUUUUCAGAAUCAACUAAGGAAAAGAGGGUUCUUACUGAACUCCUCCUUGAGCUGUCUUUUGUGCUUCUCAUUCAAAUAGAACGUCUGGUCAUGGAUAGGGUGAAUAACCUAGGAGUGAAAGCAAGGAGUAAAUUCAAUGAUUCAGCACUUUGUGAUAUCAUCAAAUUUGGAGUGCAAGAUACUUACUGAAGCCACGGGAGAAUUGUUAAAAUGGCGAAAUUCUCUCCAAUGCCUCUGCAAGUAUUCUAUUAACUUGGGUACAUCUUGUCUGCGAAAGAUGUCCCAUACUGCACCCCCACAUUCAACUUCUGCACAAUCUUGCUUGGUUUCGAGAGCUACAUUCGCUUCUACUAUCGCCAAGGCGUUGCUACUUGGGUUUAUCUCAUUAGGUGGAGAAGUUCUGCCAGAAGUAUCAACGUAAUCCAUAUCAGAAAUUAUAUUUUCUCCUUUAUUAAUAUCUUUCCCCUUGUCCAUAGUUUCUAUCAAGCAACUUCUGUUAUUGACAGUGCUUUCCUCAGAAUAAAAAUCAAUAGUUUCAGUUCUGUCAAAUCUUUGAGAAUCUGGUGCCUCAGCUAUGCCUGGACAAAGUUCCUUUGAAUCUUCAACUUCUUGUUGCUUCCUUAAUUUCUCAAUGAUUUCAUGUUGCUUGUGAUCAACAUUUACUUUGGUCGUAUGAGUCAAGAUGUUGACCUGAAGAACAUACACAAAAACUUAUUGUUUUAUUGGUGUAACAUGACAAUUGCAAAUGACACAGAGGCUAAGCUUUUUAAGCUCACUACACAACCUGAAAGUAAGGCCAAAAUUUUACCAAUCCCAAAAAAAAAAAGAAAAAAGAAAAAACAACACGCACAAAACUUGAAGUGAUCAAAAGGUUGAUCAGAUAAAGUAGCACUGAGAGGCUAUGCUGCUCGGACUCUUCAAAAAUGCCGUUGGGUGCAUGUCGGAUCCUCCAAAAAUAGUAUAUUUUUGAAGGAUCCGACACGGUUGCGGCAACAUCUUUGGAGAGUCUGAGCAACUUAGCUGAGAGGAAAACAGUGAUGUGUUAUGAUGAGCUGACCAGCUCCAUGGAAUUCUGCCCUUACCAGCUCCUCAAAAAAUUUAUUUCCCAAAAACAAAAUUUCCCCAACCAGCAUGCUUAUUACUUCUCAAAAUAUAAAAAUUAAUCUGGAUUUUAGGUCUUCCCAAUCUAAGAUUGAAAAAUCAUAAAGAUUUGAAAGUUUUUAAUUAAAUUAAUUGAACGAUAGGAUUUGUUUCCAUAUAGGCAACUACUGUUCAUUUAGGUACAGUAUUUCACAUUAUUUAUCAGUGUAACUUCAUUUGCAACUUCUAAAGUAUAUGAUUAUCAGUAACAUUUCAGAGAAAAUAAUGUCCUAUGGUUUAUACCUAAUCAAUAAAAAGUACUAGUCCAACCGUACACUUGCCUAUUGAAGCAACGGCAGAUUCUGGUCUCAACGGAAAGUUUGCACUAGAAUGUAUGUCAGUAUAGAAUUUGGGAAAGGGAUGCAAGCCCCAUGAAAAGCAAAAUAAAAUCAGUCAAACAGGAACAUGGAAUAGAUUCAUCGAAUAGUUGUUGGAAUGAGCAUACCGCAUCAGAGAUAUCACAGUGCAGCUUUGAGACAGAAUCACCUCUCCCAAGCUCUUCUUGAUAUCCAUAAGCAAUAUAAGUUUUCGGUCCCAAGUCUGGCUUCAGGGCAGUAUCAGGAAGCUUAGUGGCCAAAUUUAGAAGACCCUGUCUAGGAUGAGUGUAUUCGCUGAAGGGAAGCAUAGCAAAAAAGUCAGCUCCAUGCCUUGGCAAACAUUCUUCAAAAGAAUUAGCCGGAGGCCAAUCCUUCAGUUUCAAAAUUUCUGGCCACCCAUUGUGAUGCCUGCGACCCUCCAAGUAGCCCUUGAAGAACUGAUGAAUAUUUAUCUCAACCUGCAUUAUAAAAUAAUAAUGUUAAUAAUAAUAAUUAAAAAAAAUAGUAGUAAUAAUAAUAAUAACAACACAACAAGAUUCAUUUUAGGUAAACCAGCAAAUCGUUAUCCUUGUAAAGUGCAAAUAACAUACACAAACCAAAAUAUUAAAUUAGCACCAAACUGCGAGGAAAUGUAAAUGCCAACUCUAUACUUCUUUCAUUUAAUUUUUUUUUUUGGAUAAUUUUCCAAUUCUAAAAUGGAAAACUGCAGUUUUGUCAGGUACGGCAAAAGACACAAGAGACCAACUAGCAGAUGUUGGGGUAAAAUCACGCAAAAGAUAAUUUCCCAGAUUCAAAUUCAUUUUGGAUAGAAAAAAGGUUCAACUGCAUUCAGCCAGCGGAGGUCAGAUUAAAAAGUAGCCAUGAUGAACAAUGCAAUGAAACUUGACGGGAAUAAAAAAUAGAGAAAGGAAACUAGCAACUCAUGAUAUAUAUAUUACACACACACACUAGUUCCACAAGGCCCAUCCUAAGUCCGGGCCCAAUCUCAAGAUAUAAAAGCAGUAAUUUUAAUUUAACAUAUAAUUUGUUAUAUACUUUUUACUUUAUAAUUAAUAUAAUGUAAUGACAUGUUAAACAUUAGAGUUGAGGUUGAGGUUGAGGUUGAGGAGGAUCGUGACUAUUUUAGAGAAUCAGUUUGGAUUCAUGUCAGGUCGCUCGACUACCGAGGCCAUUCAUCUCAUGAGGAGAUUAGUGCAACAGUAUAGGGAGAGGAAGUAUAGGGAGAGGAAGAAGCACCUUCACAUGGUGUUUAUCAAUCUAGAGAAGGCAUUUGACAAAGUUACCAUGGCAUACACUAGGUCGAUUAAGGACAUGUACGAUGGAGCGAAGACUUCGGUGAGAACGGUUGGGGGAGAUUCGGAACACUUUCUUGUUUUGACAAGGUUGCAUCGACUCUUAGUAUGUGCUUAUUUGCUUUGGUAAUAGGUGUAUUGACGCGACAUAUUCAAGGGGAGGUGCCUUAGUGCAUAUUAUUUGCAAAUGAUGCAGUUCUAAUUGAUGAGAAUCGGGGAGGUGUUAAUGUUAAGUUGGACGUUGGGAGACAAACCCAAGAGUAUAAAGGGUUUAGGUUGAGAAGGACGAAAACGAAAUACUUGGAGUACAAGUUCAGUGAGUUGAAGCAUGAAGCGAACGUGGUAGUGAAGCUAGAUUCCCAAGCCAUUCGGAAGGGAGAUAGUUUCAAGUAUCAUAGCUCUAAGAUCCAAAGAAAUGGAGAGAUUGAUGAGGACGUCACACACCAUAUUGACAUAGGAUGAAUGAAACGAAGACUCGCUUCUGGAGUUUUUGUGUGAUAAAGAAGGUGCCUCCUAAACUAAAAGGCAAGUUCUAUAGAGUGGUAGUCCAACCGGCUAUGUUGUAUGGAGCAGAGUGUUGGUCAAUUAACAACUCUCAUAUCCAAAGUUGAAGGUGGCGGAGAUGAGGUUGUUGCGAUGGAUGUGAGGACUUACUAGGAGAGAUAGGGUUAUAAAUGAGAUUAUUCGAGAGAAGGUGGGAGUGACUUCGAUGGAGACAAGAUAGGGGAAAUGAGGUUGAGAUGAUUCAGACAUGUGAUGAGGAGGUGUACGGAUGCCUCGGUUUGAAGGUUGGAUAUGGAUGAUUUUAGGCGGGGUAAAGGUUGACCAAAGAAAUAUUGGAGGGAGCUGAUUAGACGUGACAUAAAACAGUUACAGCUUAUGGAGGACAUGACCCUAGAUAGAAAAGUUAAGUGGACGCGUAUUAGGGUAAUGGGUUAGUAGGUUGGAUGUCCUUACUAGUAGGUAGGAGUGCUUUGUUUGUAGUUGGGCCAUUGGUCGUGCGUGCUAUGCGUGUGUCUGGUAAUUUUCUGUUCUUAGUGUCUUAUAACUACUUUGUGGGUAUCUUGUUUAUGUUAUUAUAUAUUGGUGUGCUAUUCCAUUUUUGUUUUUAUUAUGUCUUUUUACUGUUUGAUGUCCUGAGCUGGGAGUCUAUCGAAAACAACCUCUCUACCUCAUCCAAGGUAAUGGUAUGGACUACGUACACUUACCCUCCCCAAACCCACUUUGUGCGAACACACUGAAUAUAUUAUUGUAAUGACAUGUUAAACAUGUCUUGUUAUCUUGUUUAUGUUAUUAUCUAUUGGUGUGCUAUUCCAUUUUUGUUUUUAUUAUGUCUUUAUACUGUUUGAUGUCCUGAGCUGGGAGUCUAUCGGAAACAAACUCUAUAACUCAUCCAAGGUAAUGGUAUGGACUGCAUACGCUUAGCCUCCCCAAACCCACUUUGUGCGAACACACUGAAUUUGUUGUUGUAAUGACAUGUUAAACAUGUCUUGUUAAUUGUUUAGGGUUGAAUGUCUUGUUAAUAAGUUUUCCUGAUUAUUAAAAUUUUUAAUCACGUAAUGAGAUAAUUUUUAAGAAAAAAAUAUUUGUGAGGAAGAAAGUAUUACCAAAGAAUUAGAAUAUAUCAACGACCACAAGUAAUUCGAUAAUGUGUAACAUACCAUGAUUUAAAAUAGUUAAAUAAUUAUGAUUUGGCGAAGAUCAUACAUAGAAAAAUAUUGAUAUUUCUAUGAAUUUGUGAGUAUCUAAUUGUUUACUUAUAAAUAGAAAUAAAUUUAUUUUGAUAUUUAUUGAGUUUUAAUUUCGUUCUUUAUUUCAUGUUGCAAGCGUUUUUGCAGAAUUCAUUUUUUUUCAUCUUAUAGAAUCAUCUAAUACAACAAAAUAUAUCAAUUACUUCAAAUUUAUAUUAUAAUAAUUAUAACCGUAUUUUAGAGCUUUUACACAAAUUAACUUCAUAAUAAUCUAUAAGGAAGGAUACUAAAUAAUAAUCAAACUACAUUAAUAGAUUACUCUAUUCGGUCCAUUUACUUGUCAUGUUUAUGUUUUACACACACCCAAAAAGAAUACCUUAUCCAUCCUAUUUUAAUUAUUGCUUUAUCUUUUUCCAUGCUUGCUAAGAAAAAUAAUAAAUACAAGGUAUUAAGUAACCCUAUUUAUUACUCUCUCGGUUUCAAAAAGAAUGACCUAUUUUGAAUUGGCACGGAGUUUAAGAAAAUAAAGAAGAAUUUUGAAUCUUGUGCCCUUAAAUUAAACUUGUGUCAAAUAUACCAAAAUGCCCUUUAAUCUUGUGGUAUUAAACAUGACAUGUGGAAAGUUGAAACUAAAGUAUUGUCAGAAAAGGAAAGGGUCAUUCUUUUUUAAACUGGCUAAAAAGGAAAGUACGUUCUUUUUGAAACAAAGGGAGUAUAUGUUUUUUUCAAAAUUGUACAAUAUUAAUAAGAAAUAUUAGAGUGUAGUUGAAAAUCAUUGCAAACUUUAAUCUUGUAUUAAAAGUUAUUUGGCAUAAUUUUUUGAGCUAAAGUAAUCGUUCAUUAAAGAUAAAUGGAGAUUUAAUUAAAAGGUAAUUUAAUAAGUGACAAGAAGGGACAAAUAACAAAAGUCCAAGUAGGAAUGAUCUUAACAAAAAUAAUAAGUGCAAAAAUGGAAAUAUAUCAGAAAAAUACACCAGUAAUUGUCAUGUGUGCUUGACAAAUAAAAGUGAAAUACUUAAAAUGUCAUUUGUAAGGACUACCAAAAAUUGAUAUCCUUUCUUAUACUAGAUACAUUAGCCCAUGCAAGCAUGGGCCCCAUAUAAGUUACUUUUCGGUUUCAAUUUAUGUGAUAUCGAUAAAAUUUCAAGACUCAAUGAAAUUUUUUAUAUAUUUUUAAAAAUAUUUUAAAUUGCUAAUUAUUGUGAUUUAACGUGAAAAGUAAUUGAAAAGGCCUUUAAUUAUUGUUAAUACUACAAAUGCGUACCUUUACUAUACUUUACUACUAUAUAUUCCUUCCAUUCACUUUUAUUUGUCAAUUUUACUAAUCACCAAUGCGAAAAUGAAUAAAAUAAAAUUAAUAUUUUAAAAUUAAAAUUUAAAUGGUCAAAACCUAAUAUUCAAUUUAAAAACAAAUACUACUAUUUUCAAAUUUCAUAAUUUUUGUCGACACCCGACUAAGCCGGUCUAAUUAUAUUAUCAUGUUGUUCCUUAUUCUUCAAUAAAUACUUUCUCUAUUUCAUAUUACUUGGUCUACAGAGUUAAGACGGAAUACUUGAAAUGUAAGUUUAGUGAUUUGUCGCAUGAGGCUGACGUGGUAGUGAAUCUCGAUUCUCAGGCCAUUCAGAAAAGGGAGAGUUUCAAGUAUCUUUGGUCUAUGAUUCAGGGGAAUGAUGAAAUUAACGAAGAUGUCACGCACUGUAUUGGUGCAGGGUGGUUGAAAUGGAGACUCGCUUUGGGAGCUUGUGUGAUAAGAAGGUGCCUUGCAUUCUAAGCUUAAAGGAAAGUUCUACAGAGUGACAGUCCGACCGACUAUGUUGUAUGGAGCGAAGUGUUGGUCAGUUGUUAAGAACUCCCACAUCCAAAAGUUGAACAGAAAUGAGGAUAUUACAAUGGAUGUGUGGACUUACCAGGAGGAAUAGGAUUCGAAAUGAGAUUAUUCAGGAGAAGGUAGAAGUGGCUUUGGCGGAGGACAAGAUGCGGGAAGUGAGGUUGUGAUGGUUCGGACAUGCGAUGAGGAGGGGCACGAAUGCUCCAGUACGGAGGUGUGAGAGGCUGGCUAUGGAUGGUUUUAGGCAGGAUACAGGUAGGCCGAAGAAAUAUUGAACUGAGGUGAUUAGGCAUGGCAUGGAGCAGUUACAGCUUACGGAGAACAUGACCUUUGAUAGGAAGGUACGAAGGAAGCGGAUUAGGGUAGAGAAUUAGUAGGUAGAAGUGCGUCCAUAAUAGUAGGGAAGAGUGUUUUGUUUGUAUCUGUGCCUAUAGUUUCUGGUAGUCUAUUGCUCGUGGCGUUUUGGUGAUGUCUAUCAAUUCGAAUAGUUAGUUUAUAGUAUUACCUUGUGGGUGUCUUGUUUCCUUUAUUAUCUAGCGGUAUGAUAUCUUUUUUUGUUGUUUGUUUUUAUGUUUUUCGUUUGUUAUACAGUUAUCUAUCCUGAGACGAGGGCUAUCGAAAACAUCCUCUCUACUUCACCUGAGGUAGUGGUAUGGACUGUGUAUAACCCCCAACCCCACUUUGUGGGAAUACACUAGAUAUGUUGUUGUUUCUUGUUUGUAUUUCAUAUUACUUGGUCUCUGUUGACCUAACACAUUCCUUAAGAAGUUUCUAAAGAAAUAUUUACUAAACUAACCUAUUAAUGAUGAUUUAAAAUUCAUAAUUUGACAACAGUUAUUUAUGUACUAAAAAUAGUAUGAAAAUAAUUAAUAAAACUCUCUUCAUUUAUUAAAAUAGAUAAAUACAAUGUAAUAUUUAAUAUUAGGCCAAUUAAAAUGAAGGUAGGUAUGAAAUUGAGGGAGUAAAAAUCUGCACAAAAUCAAAAUCAAAGUAGAGACCACAUCGCCAUCAAAAGGAGAAAACAAAAGAGAAGAUAAAGCUGUUAAAAGGCAUGAAACAAGGCCCAUGUAUUUUACAUUAAAUUUCGAAAAUGCCAUCCGAAGCAGCUGACCUCAAGUUGCUCACAUUCUGGCUUAUAAUAUAGAGUAAAAAUAUAGUAGAAAUAUAUAUAUACAUAUAUAUUACUAAUAUAUGUGUGUGCGCGCGCGCGCGUUAGGACCAUAACUGGGGAUGCAUAUAAGAACUAGAGAAGUCAAAUGAUGGCACUCUGUCUCCUUUUCCCCCAAGGGGGUAAUUUACACAAAUCAAAUGCAUACCUGACACCAAUCCAAGCAAUCAAUGGACUUAACACAGAAAGGCUCCUCUUUCAGCUUUUUACUUGCUUUUCUGAAGGCCCUCCACAUUACCAUGGGCUCCCAGCUAAGACCAGUGGCCUGAGCUUGUGCAUUUCUAACUAUUACAGGUUCACCAGUCCUCCAAUGCAUUUGAAAAUGCUCAAACUCGUUACCGUCAAUGUGAACAGCAUCAGGACAGUAGAGAAAAUUAUCGUGGCUGUUGUUCCUAAAAGAUGCUUGUCUUACUUGACAGUGGUUAUCACCGUUUUGUACGGAAGUGGUAGCAAGACAAAAUGAACACCCAUGUGAUAAAUCUAUAUCUGCAAGGUGGUAGUCGCAUGUUAGGGCCUCAGCACUUUGAAUUAGUUGGUCUACCCAAUUAGCGUUGAAGAUGCGCCUUAGAGCCAUUAAAGAAGAGCCACAACCACCGCGCUCUUUAGGAGGACAAGGUAUACUGCCAUCAGGUUUGGCUCUCCACUCAGCAACAUCAAAGGGCAUGUGAGUUGGACAGCCAUUAGCAAGGAGGGUCUCUGGACUUCUCCAGCCAUCUGAAGGAUUGUUUUCCUUCAAAGCUGCGAUGGGAGUAGCUUCCGCCGACUUGCUGAGAGAUGAACUGGCUUCAGUAGCUCCGAGUGGAGCACCAUCUCUGAGUUCCCGACAACAAUUGACACAGAUCUCAUACGAGCAAUCAGGAUUUGGGCAGCUUCUAUGGAAAUUGACAAUGGAUGUAUUGCAAUUAUCACUGCCAAAUAAGGAACCAUGCAUCAUUACAGCUAUUGUGUCAUGAUAAAACUGAGCUUUGGAAAUAGUAAACAUUUUGUGUAAGCUUACAUCCUUUUGUUUUCCAGAACAAACAAAUAAAGACGGUCAACAGAAACUACAUUUCAAACUAAUAAAAGCAUUUCUGAAACUUUGAGCAACCACAAUCCACAGACACUCUACUUUUCUUUAUGUAAUUAACCAUAGACAAUCAGUGUUCGUAAAUCAAAAGGUUGAAGAAAUCCUUUGGUAUCAAAGUAGAAGGUAAAAAUAAGGAGGAACGAACAAUGCAGCUUCAACAAACAGAUCAUGUAUGCAAAGGCUGCUGGAGUAAACUUUAAAGAACAGAUCAGAAACAAAAUUUACUUCAACAGGUAGAUAUUUGAACAAUCAAUCCCGCUGUUUACUCCCAUGAAGAAACAAUUUACAUCUUAUGUCCCUAUAGAUGAAUUUAUAAUAACUCAUGAGAAAUACGAGAGCUUUGGAAGGAGCAGAGCCGAGUUUCUUUCAGUUGCAGAGUAGUCUUCACUCUCUUAUUUUCUUUGGUGUAAACAGAAAGUCCCGAAUUGUAUAGUUGAUUGGGAGGAGUUUGUAGAGAAUCAUAUCUGUUUGUAGAUUCUUUACUCUUGGUAUAUCCCUGGUAACUAGUCAGUUUGUCCAUGUUCAUGAAUGAGAAUAUGUUUACUUGACCCAAAAAAAAUAAUAAUAAUAAUAAAAUAUCAUACAUGGUUUCUGAGCAUACAUAGUGCAACAAGUAAUUUACUAUUUGGGGGACCAUACCAAUACAUUCGAUCAUCAUCAUCAAUGACUGAUUUGGUAAUGUCUUCUUCUGUCAGCUGAACACCUGAAAACAACAGAGACCAGAAACAUCACUGAACAUUCUGAGCCACCAACCACAAGCAAACUUGAAAUUAUCCAAAAAAAAUUAAAUAGUACCACGAAUGUUUGCUUCAACAUCUAGCUCAAACCUCUGCUCCUUCUGAAUAUGCCUGAGGAGGGGCAGAAUGUUGAAUAGCAAAUAAAGUGAACCCUCCAAUCUCAUAUUUUCAUCAGUUUCUUUGCAGCAGUCCUGUAACCCCAAAAAACCUAGUCAUUUUCAUAUCAACUUGGACUAGUUGAUUUAUCAAAAGAAAAAGCAGAUACUUAUUUGUAAUAUCAGCAUAUGUACUGUAAAUACCUGAUCAAUACAAGAGGUAAAUUUAACAUGUUCACAGACCUUUAAGAAGACAUCUGUUUGAAGGCAAGCUCCGCAAUUGCAAUUCCCACAACAGAAAGGACAGGUGUCCCCUACUUCGUCGCUUGUUCUAUCUGGAUACCUGCUCAGUAUCUCAACAUCUUAGAAAACAUUACUAGCAAUCUCAAUUAGAAUUAACAUAGUUAGAACUUUUAUAACAAUACACCUAUAAGGAGGGGAAAAAAUAAAGACCAAACCGAGAAUCCUUUCUCUUUUGGUUUGUGAAGAAAGGAGAUUAAUUUCAUUACCACUUCGAAAUGCAAUCGUUGCAAUAGCGUUUUCUUUUGCAUCUUGAACAGAUGACAAUAGAAGCUUUAUAAUUUUUGCACUGAUGACACAAAAAGUUCCGCUGAUCCUUCCAACUGAUAGCGUCCUACAUAUAGAUACCUCAUUAGGACACAGUUUCAAAUUUAAGCCACAUGUUAUGUCCGCCACAAUAUCCCCUACAAUAUCAAUGAAAAUUAACUUUAGUGGCACUUGAAUCCUCUUUCCAAAAGCACACUCAUUUUAUGCUUCAAAAGUAUGGGAGAAGCUUUCAUGUUCAAGCUCAGGUUCAAAUUAUUUAAAUGACCAUCUGUCGCAAAUGGACCUACAUAAUAGUGUCAUAACUCAAGCUUUAUUAACUCCAUGAACAGUGUCAGGUAUCACUUAUUUGAGAACGAGCAUGACUAAAAGUUGGAUUGAGAAUUAUACGCCAGAUAUCACUAUCAGCACUCUAAUGAGUACAACGACAACAACAUACCCAGUGUAUUCCCCCAUAGUGGGGUCUGGGGAGGGUUGAGUGUACGCAAACCAUACCACUACCUCCGAAGAAGUAGAGAGGCUGUUUCCGAUAAACCCCUGGCUUAGGACCGAUAGCACGCUAAUGAGUAUGCAAAAGAAAAUAAGAUUCUUCACUUCCCUAAGGACAUUGGCCUCUGUGUUUUGAUGCGUCCAGCAGUAUCCAUUGUCUGCUUCACUAUGCUAGCUUGGACCAUUAAUAAUAAGAACUCUUUCCUCUGAUCCAAAUCACAGGUUUUAUAAAUGGACGGACACAAUUUGUUGAAUAUAGUUGGCUAUGGUAACCCCAAAAACUUCCCCAAGUCUUUAAUUGCAAUGAGAUGAUCAACAAAUUCUGAUAAACUAUAACAUCAGUUUGCAGCUCUUAAGUUCUAUUUAUAUUUGGCUUUUUAGCUUCAGUUAUUUACAAAUAAAAUUCCAUACAAUUCAUAACAAGAAGACAGGUAGGUUCGGGAAGAAGAGAUCCUGACCAAUACUCCUUGUGUUGUCAGUCCAUUUGUUUCUGCAUUAGCACCAAGUUCCUGCUCUCCUGUGGAUUCAGAGACAAUAGCAAUUCUCUUCUCAUCAUUUAAACUCUUUGGCCUCCCUCCGCGCUUAACCAUCCUGCUAACAGCAUUCUGAUAACUAACUUGACAAGGAAAUCCCAUAUUGAAAGGGACUGUCUUUUUCUUGUUCUUUGAACCUUUUGGUCUCCCUCUGCUAGCUCUCCUCUCACUGCCAUAACCUCCCAAAGCAUCCAACAAAACAUGUUCACCUGAUAUUCCCCCAUUUUCAGUGGCAACAGGAACCAUGCUACAGUAUUUCACUUUCUGCUCAGCUUGACUACCUCCUCCGUCAUCAUGCACUAUAAGUGCUCCUAGAGUUCUGUUAUUUUCUUCACUAUUAAUCUUUGCUUUCUUAUUUUUUGAACCUUUAGGCCGUCCACAUCCAUUCUUUCGCUUUAUGCUCAAAUUUACCCCAUUAGUAUCGGCAGCAAUUUCGCCUGUCAUUCUCUGAAUUUCUACAGCAUCAGAUACUACAUCCUUUUUGUUUUUCAAGCCCUUGGGUCUCGCUCGCCUACCCUUCAGCUUAGUAACCCCAUUCUCACAAGGAUUGAAGCUAUCAGUAUUAGCUUUGACGUCCUGAUCAAUCCUAACUGCUGCUUGUUUCCUAUUCUCUGAAAUUUUCAUCCCUUCUCGGCAUUUCUUCUUCUUAACCGUCUUGCUGGUGCCAUCUUCAGCAGCAUCGACAAAUGCAUGCUGAUUCUCAUCAAAUGCAACAAUCUUAUUCUCAUUUUGGGGCAGGCUGCAGCUAUCCUUCUUAGCAAUAGUAUCUUCGCUUGGAAUCCCCACCAUGUGAUCCAUUGCCAGGCUGGCCAUUUUAUUCUCAUGUUCGUUACUGAUAUUCAUCGCUCCAACUCCAUGACCAGAAUAAACAUCACUCGAGCUGCUUAUAACAGUUUUCUUUUUAUUCUUUGAACCUUUUGGCCGGCCAAGGACACCCUUCCUCCUGACUACUCUAACUGCAGAAACCAAAGCAACUUCAUUCGGGUCUCCCUUAUUAUCUUCAAUUAAAACCAUUCCCUUUUCAGCCUCAUUUAUUCUCAUAGUACCCCCAUCUUGUCCUCUAUUAUUGAGAUUAGCAUCAAUGAAAUUACCACCAGUAGUUCUCUUCUUAUUUUUUGAGCCUUUGGGCCGACCACGCCUCUUCUUGAAUAUCCUCUCUCCAUCACUGAUAGCUAUUUCAUUGCCCCCACCUUCUCCGGCUACAAAUUUUCUCUUUUCAUCAUCUUCCUUCCUGACUGCAUCCAUGUAUUCAUCUCCAUUAUUCUUAUUAGUAUCACUUGAAUGGCCUGGUAUAACUUUUCCCUUGGUUUUUGAACCUCUCGAUCUGCCACGUCCGACCUUCUUCUUGACUAUCAUCCCUUCUUCCUCAUUCAGAAUUACUCCAGUUUGACCAUCUAAUGUGAUUCUUUUCUCAUUCUCGCCCUGGCAUAUAAGAUCUACUUCAUGUCCACCAGUAGCAUUAGCAUUACUCAAAUAGCCUAAUGUGGUUUCCUUCUUAGUCUUUGAGCCCUUGGGCAGGCCUCGCUUGACUAAAUGUUUUGUGUAACCCCCUUCAUUGCUAUCAAUAUCCUUGCUUCCAACUCCAUUGCGACAAGGAACAGUCAGAGGACCUAUCAAGACUUUCUUCUUAUUCUUGGAGCCUUUGGGCCGACCAAUUUUCUUCUUGACUAUCUCAUUGUGUCCAAAAACUUGAUUUGCGCUUAUUCCGAAAUCACCAACUGCAACAGUGUCGGUUUUAGACAUUUCCUUUUCAACAAUAACAUCUGCAUUUAUCUUUCCAACACAAGUAUCAUCUAUUGGUAACACUACCACCAUUUCAUUACCAGUAACAGUUUUUUCCUCAUUCGUUGAACCUUUUGGCCUUCCUAUAGCUCGCUUCUUGAUACUCCCUUCUUCUCCACAAUCCUUCUUCCUUUCCGUGCGCUCCUUCUUGGUUCUCCUUUCUUGAUACUCCCCGAUUUGUUCUAUAUUUUUCUUUUUGUUCUUAGAACCCUUGGGCCUUCCUCCAACCUUCUUCUUCUUCACAAGCAUUUCACUACUUCCAUGGACUAAGCCAACAACUACACAUGGAAAUUCCCCAUUUUCUUCAACCUUUCUCUUCUUGUUAUUCUUGGAAUCCUUCGGCCUGCCUAGUCGCUUCUUCUUCUUCACGAGAUCCCCUUCUCCACUGUCAUCCAUCAUGCUAACUGUACCUGAAACUCCCACAUUUUCUUCACCACUUAUGUUAUUUUUGGAACCCUUUGGCCUGACUAGUCUCUUCUUCUUCAUAAGAACCCCUUCUCCACUGCCAUCCAUCACACUCUCUGUACCUGAAAUUCCCACAUUUUCUUCACCACUCCUGUUACUCUUAGAACCCUUCGGCCUGCCUAAUUGCAUCUUCUUCUUCUUAACAACGCCUUCUCCACUGCAAUCCACCAUGCUAACUGUAUCUGAAUUUCCCACCUUUUCUUCACUUCUCCUGACAUUCUUAGAACCCUUUGGUCUUCCCCUUAUCUUCAAAACCUUUGCCCUUCCCCUUUUCUUAGAGCUUACCACACUAACAUCAUUAGCUACUACAUUUUCCAAAAAAGGUACCACUACUUGCUGACCAUCAAAAUUCCCCUGAUUCUGAAACUCAGAAUCUAAUACCACAUCCCCCUUCUGAUUCAAAUCUUCCAUAACCAAUUUUUGACAAGAAACAAAACAAUUCUACGAACUACUGAUCAAGAAACCUCAAACUCAACUCAUCAUAGAACACCCUUUUCUUGAUUUUUUUACAUAAACCCUAAAAAAAAUCACCAAUAAAACUCAACAAACCCCUCAAUUUUCCAAGAAAAGAGAACCCCACCAAUAAAAAUGCAACCUUUAAAUAGAACAAAAAAUAAAAGGACCACAAGGGGUAUUCAUGGAGGAGUAAUGUUGCCUGUUUCUUGGGAACAAAACCAAGAACUCACCUUUCCAAUGGACUUCUAUUUUGCUUUUCUAUUUUUUUCUCUUUCACCCUUUUUCAGUAAAACAGACUAAUGACGAGUACCUGGUUUUAUGUAUUUGUUGUUGUUUUGUUGGAGAAGAUUAGCAGGGAAGCUGUUGUUGACUGAAAACUUGGGAACAUGAUUUUGUGUUGAUUUGUUUUUGUCCAUUUUACAUGUUUUCCCUGGUUUUUAAAACAAUACUAAUAAUAUUAUGUAGUAGUAUCAUUUGCGAUUUUAUCAGAUCAAAUUAAUGUGAUAAUGUGAUAUAGUUUUAAUUUAGUGAUAGGGUGAAUAGAUAAUUAUGAUUUAUUAGAUCUCAACUCAUCCAUAGUAAAGAAAUAUGACAAUGUGUUAUAAACCAAACAAAAGAGUCUAACCAAAAGACUAGUCUAGAAGGUGGGAGAACCCAUUGACUUAUACUCCCUUAGCAUUUUUCUUUUUUUUCAAUAUGGAACAUUGGUUCAUUACAAUCGCCCCACUUGAGAAUCAACGACCUCAUUGGUCACGGCUAUACCCAGUUGGUCACGGCCGGCACCCCUCUUGGGUCCAGGCCACCACUUCGAGACGCGGCUCCACACGUGGUUUGUUCCUCAUUGAUUACGACUAUGCCCAGUUGGUCACGGCUGCACCCCUCGGGUCCAGGCCAUCACUACUGGCACAUAGGUCACCACUCCGAGUCACGGGCUCUUCAUUGGUCACGACUAUGUCCUGUUGGUCACGGCUGACACCCCUCGGGUCCAGACCACCACUACUGGCGCAUAAGCCACCACUCCGAGUCACGGCCCCCACGCAUGGGACUCUCAAUGAAAGCAUGUUAUAAACCAAAAGGGAAAGCUCAACCCAAAAGACUAACCUAGUAAGUGGGAGAACCCAUUGGCUUAUACCCCUAGCAUUUCUCCUUUUUUCCAAGGUGGGACAUUGAUUCAUUACAGAAUGAUUUUUAUUUUACUAUACUAUAUGAUAUAUGAAAUGAGAAGUUAGCAUAUAAAUUAGCUUUGCUAAAAAUAGUACAUGUUUAAUUAGCUUUGCAAAAAAAUAGUAGUACAUGUUUAAUUUGACUUGUGAUAACACAUUGUGGCUCCAAAAUUGUGUAGUUGUUUCAUAUAUUGAAAUAUUGUAAUUUGGAUAUUUACAUGAUAAAAUGAUAAAAUCUUUGAUCUUGGAUAGUAAGUAUUGAUAAGAAAUUUAAAAGAAUCAAAGAGAGUUAAUACAAAAAUAAUUAUUAAUUAGUAUUAUAAUUCAUAGUAGUUUUAGAUAUCUUCUACACGUGUAAAUUUUAAUUUGAAAAUUUUAAUAAUUUCAUGUUCGACUUCACGUCAAAUUAAUUAGUUUGAAGUUGGUUGGUCAAAAAAUGUCAUAUAUUUUGAACAUAUUAUCAUAAAAUUAAUUUCAAAAUAAGUGGUAACAAUUAUUUCAUGCUAAAUUGAAUGUUAAUAUCACCACAACUAUUAAUAUAUAAAAAUUUAUGCCUGAAAUAAGUAUCUAGUGGUUCCAUGGUCUAGUGGUUAGGACAUUGGACUCUGAAUCCAGUAACCCGAGUUCAAAUCUCGGUGGAACCUUCCAAUUCUUAUUAAUUUUGCUUUGAAGUUUUAUGAACCCAAAUUUUCUUAUUUUUCAUCUUUUCUUAAAAUAAGUAUUUUUUUUAUUUUCAAAAUAAAUAGUGUUUCACAAAAUCAAAAAGGUUUAUAAAAUUUUCUUCUAAUUUUAUCCAUAUCUAAAUAAUUAGAUUUUACGUAACAAAGAAACAACAAAAGAGAUCUUUCGUCUAAUAUUUGCUAGUCAACAACAACAUACCCAAUGUAUUCCUACCUAGUGGAGUCUAGGGAGGGUAGAGUGUACGCAGUCCAUACCACUACCUCAGGUGAAGUAGAGAGGUUAUAUAGACCCCCGGCUUAGAAUCAAUAACAAUAUAACAGAUAUAAUACAUAAAUGUCAAGAAACUUCAGACACAAAUACAGAAUACUUCCUUGCUGUCACCGACACUCUCAAAUCUCGGUGGAACCUUCCAAUUCUUUUUAAUUUUGUUUUGAAGUUUUAUGAACCCAGAUUUUCUUAUUUUUCAUCUUUUCUUGAAAUAAGUAUUUUUUUUAUUUUCAAAAUAAAUAGUGUUUCACAAAAUCAAAAAGGUUUAUAGAUUUUUCUUCUAAUUUUAUCCAUAUUUAAAUAAUUAAAUUUUACGUAACAAAGAAACAACAAAAGAGAUCUUCCUUCUCAUAUUCGUUAGUCAACAACAACAUACCCAGUGUAUUCCCACCUAGUGGGGUCUGGGGAGGGUAAAGUGUACGCAGUUCAUACCACUACCUCAGGUAAAGUAAAGAGGUUAUAGACCCCCGGCUUAGAAUCAAUAACAAUAUAACAGACAUAAUACAUAAAUGUAUAUAAACUUGUAUAGUAUGCAAAAAUAAACUAAGAAUGCUAGCCACAAGAUAAUACUAAAACUAUACAUCUGAAAUCAUAGACAGCACACAACGCCUACGAACAAGAAACUUCAGACACAAAUACAGAAUACUCCCCUGCUGUCACUGACACUCUCCCCCCCCCCAACCCUCUACCCUAAUCCGCAUCCUCCGCACCUUCCUAUCGAGGAUCAUGUCCUCCGUAAGCUGUAACUUCUCCAUAUCAUGUUUAAUCACCUCUCUCCAAUAUUUCUUUGGCCUACCUCUCCCCCAUCUAAAAUUAUCCAUAACCGGUGUCUCACACCUCCGCACAGGCGCAUCAGCACCCCUCCUCAUCACGUGCCCGAACCAACGUAACCUCACUUCUCCCAUCUUGUCCUCCACUAAAGACACUCCCACCUUUUUUCGAAUAAUCUCAUUCCUCACCCUAUCCUUCAUAGUCUGACCACACAUCCACCGCAACAUCCUCAUCUCCGUCACUUUUAAAUUUUGGACUUGGAUUUCUUAACUGGCCAACAAUCUGCUCCAUACAACAUAGCCGGUUGGACUGCCACUCUGUAGAACUUAACUUUAAGCUUUGGGGGCACCUUCUUAUCACAUAAACCCCCCGAAGCAAGCCUCCAUUUAAACCAUCCUACCCCAAUACGAUGUAUGACAUCCUCGUCAAUCUCAUCAUCACCCUCAAUCAUAGACCCCAGAUACUUUAAACUCCCCUUCUUUUGAAUAGCCUAAGAAUCCAGCUUCACAACCACACCAGUCUCCUGCGACACAUCACCAAACUUACACUCUAAGUAUUCUGUCUUGGUCCUGCUCAGUCAAAAACCUUUAGAAUCAAGGGUCUGUCUCCAAAUCUCCAACUUAUCAUUAACUUCUCCCCGAGUCUCGUCAAUCAAUACCACAUCAUCGGCAAAUAACAUAUACCAAGACACCCCUCCCUGAAUAUGUCGUGUUAACACAUCCAUCACCAAGACAAAUAAAAAAGGGCUAAAUUAAGAUGGGAUUAAGUAAAAAAAAAUUCAUUUUUCCUCUACAAUUAAACUAUUUGAAAGUUUAAACAGAUUAUCUUUAUGUCUUAAUAUAUAUAAAAUAUAUAGUAGUAAAAUUGAUCAUUUUAUUAAUGAUAUCUUAAUCAAUGUGUAAAAUAGUGCUCAACUAGUAUGAGACGGAUGUUGUACUUUUUUUUCAAGACAUUUGAUUAAAAUGAAAACACUUCUUACAAUCUAAGUGAAAUUUUCAAAUGAGGUGUCACCAAAUUAAAAACGUCAGUUAUUAUAAAAGGAAAAGAGUAACAUAUAUCCUCAUUUUCGGAGUGAUCAAAUAAUUUAUGUAAGAUACUCUAGUAAAUAAAGUCUCAAUUUUCUUGUCAUGGAGCACUUUUUCUUUUCUAGUCAUUUUAAAAGUUAAUGAAGUCUGAUUUUACCUUUUUUUUAAUUGGAGGGAGCAAGCACACAAAUAAUUAUUUUUAGGACCUUCAUUUAGAAAAGAAGUAAAAAUUUACACAAUUUAUAAAUUUUACAUGCCUGAAGACAAGUUAGACUUUGAAUUUAGCCUUUGUCAAAGGUUAAUUUUCAACAUCAUAUCUUAAUUUGAACCGAGUUUAAAUGCAAUUUCAAUAGAUAUAGGGUCUGAAAUUAGGUUUUAUAAGAGCUUAACUUUAAAUUCGAAGGUCUCGAAUUGGUCGUUUUUAAUAACCGUUGUAUUCGGAUCAAUUUUUGUGCACUUCAACUAAAUUUAUGAGAUAUUUGUCACCUCCCGCCAACAACAAAUAUCUAAUAACUCUGUUCAUCAAUUAUUGAAUUAGCCACAUGAUACAAGUAUGAUCUUGAUCAUGACACUUUUGAGUAUUUUUUAAGACUAGUCACUAAAGGGCUCUUUUGUUAUUUCUCUAUUAUUUGUAAUGUUGUAUAAAUAGAACCUUGUAGGGUUUAUUUUCUUAAUUAUGCUUGAUAUAAAUAGAACCUUGGAUUCUCUUGUAUGUUGCAAAGCUUGAGACUUUGGUGCUUUGAGUGAUGGAUGCCCCUCUUAUGUCAUUGUAAGAGUUAGGUGUUUGUUGUAUAAAGUGUUAAAGGUCCAAGAGUGAAUAUACUCUUGGGUUGUUAAAACUACAUCAACACUUGUCUAACUAUCUAUCUUUGUUUCUUGUCCUAAUCUUGUAGUUUGUGUUGUUGUUGUUCAAGCCGUUUGGUUAUUGUGGUUGUAACAUUGUUGUUCUUCAUUUUUAUCAUCGUAAUAUAGUUUGGUUUGCUGCUGGAAAUUAGGUGUUAAACACCUCAUUACAUGUUGUUCUUGUUGUGUUCUUGAAUCCGAGAGGGGUCACCAAAAGAGGUCCAUAGUUCCUUGAACUAGUGGACUGUUUUGGUGUUUGUUUUCUUGUGUUCUUGGGCUGUCUUGUAUCAUUUGGUAUCAAAGUAAGGUUUGAUUUCUUGGAAUUGUUAUCUUGAAAAUAAAAAAAAAGUGAAAAGAAAGAAAAAGAAAAAAAGUUACUGUUCACGUUUUUAGGGUCUUUAAAAAAAAACUUGAUUUUUGUGUGUUUUGUGUGUUUCUAGUGUUAGAUCCUUGUUCCCUAACACUAUUAGAGUCUAGAAAUUAAAAAUCUCAACAAAAAAGAAGUGUCAAAAUUGAAAAUCCCCCCUCCCCCCCCCCAAGAAAAAAACUAAACCCGUUUUUUACCCUAGGUCAAAUUUUGAGUUUUUGAUUUUGUGUUUUUAUUGUGUUUUUAGUGUUAGAUUUGUGUUCUCUAACACUAUAGGAGUAUAGGGUUAGAAUUUGAGCUAAAUUGGAGGUUAUUUGAGCCAUCCAUCAUUGUUAAGCUUGAGUUUGAAGAAACCUGAAGGUGGGAUCUCAUUGUUGGAGGUUGUUUUGAACUCACGUGUGUUUCAUUUUGUAGAAUUUGUAUAGUAUUGUUGUGUGUGGCGUUUUGGACUGAUUGGGUGUCUUGUUGGAUAGUAACUUGAAGGGUUAUUUUUGGUAUAACCACAAUGGAACCCGAGGCUUCAAAUGCUCAAACAAUGGAUAAUAAUGCCAUCAAACUCAUUUUGGCUCGCCUUGAAACUAUGCCCCGAGAUGUGGCUAGGUUGAAUGUGGGUCUUGAGAAAUUAGAUACGGAUGUGGCAUCAAUAAGUGAGAGAUUAGAACGUGUGGAAAGCCAAAGGAGUCGACCUUCCACACCUUAAAACAAUUCCCCAACUAAUACUCCCGGGACCAUGCACCAAAUGCUAUAUCCACCAAUUGCCACAAAUCCAACCAAUAUCUACUCUUGAAGCCAAGAACAAGAUAGACCAAACCAUCCUCCACUCCACCAAGUCCAACAAGAAGGGCUUGGAACCCAAAUACCAUCACCAAACCCAAACCCUCUCAUCCAAACUCUACUUGACCAAAGACCUCACUAUCUAAAUCCAAUCCCGCCACUACAAGCUCCACUUAACCCAAAUAGACCCAUCCAUGUUGAGGGCUAUGGUAGGGGAGAACAACAUGGUGGUUAUGGUGUAUAUGAUGAUGUUUACUUGAGGGAAGAAAGAAUAAGGGGUAGACAUGGGGAGUCAGAUCGAGAGGUGAGAUAUGGCCAUCCAAACCGAGAUAUAAGUCUCAAUUCCAUCAAAGUGAGCCUUCCCAUUUUCAAAGGUGAGAGUGAUCCUGAAGCCUACCUUGCAUGGAAGUCGUCUUGUGACAAGAUCUUCCAACUUAAUGAUCUCACCGAAGAAAAGAAAAGUUGUUAUGCUAUAGCUCACUUUGAAGGGUAUGCUAAUACAUGGUGAGAGUAUGUUAAACGGUUUGGGAAUGAGAUGAUUGGGGGACAACCUCCUCCUUGGUUUCGGUUGAAGAACCUUAUGCGGCAACUGUACUUUCUCGAGACUUAUAGCCAUGAGCUUCUUGCCAAAUUGUAUAAUUUGAGGCAAGGGAGUAAGAGUGUCAUGGAUUACUACGAUGAAUUUCAACAAUUGGUGUUGAAACUUGACCACGGAGACGAGCAAGUAAGUCAUGACAUUGUGCACUUUAAGGUUGGGUUAAACAAGGACAUCUCCACUUGCACGAUGCUUCACAAAUUUGACACCGUAGAUGGCAUCUUCCACGCGACUUUAGAGGUUGAGAGGGAGCUCAAAGAGAAAUCAUUCAUGGCUACCCAACCCGAGGCUACUAAGGGUUUCCAAAAACAUCCUCCAAGGUAUGAAGGUAAAUUAAAUUCUACUUCCAAUCCCAAGGGGUUUCAAUGCUUCAAGUGUCAAGGGUGGGGGCACAAGGUUAGUGAGUGCCCAAACCGGCGGAAUAUAAUCCUAAGAAGGGGUAGAUUGUACUAUCUUGGAGAAAAGGUGGGCAUUGAAUUGGUUAAGAAUGAUGACAAACCGCAAGAUGGAGAGUAAAAAGAAGCCCAAGUGCAAAAUGAAGAGUAUAGAGAAGAUGUGUGGACGGAAGAAGGAGAUUGUGAAGUGCCUUUGUAAAAGAGGUGAGCCCGUGAAUUUGUGGUCAAAUUCCUCUCAAGAUGGAGAGGAUGAUACAAGUAUGAUCAUGAUCAUGAUCAUGACACUUUUGAGUAUUUUUGAAGACUAGUCACUAGAGAACUCUUUUGUCAUUUCUCUAUUAUUUGUAAUGUUGUAUAAAUAGAACCUAGUAGGGUUUAUUUUCUUAUUUUAUGCUUGAUAUUAAAGACACUACUCUUGUGAGAGAGAGUUCUCAAAACUGAAAUUAGGGCAUAGCAUAAGGGUGGAUUCUCUUGUGUGUUGCAAAGCUUGAGACUUUGGUGCUUUAAGAAAUGGAUGCCCCUCUUGUGUCAUUGUAAGCGUUAGGUGUUUGUUGUAUGAAGUGUUAAAGGUCCAAGAGUGAAUAUGCUCUUGGGUUCUAAAGACUACAUCAACACUUGUCUAACUAUCUAUCUUUGUUUCUUGUCCUAAUCUUGUAGUUUGUGUUGUUGUUGUUCAAGCCGUUUGGUUAUUGUGGUUGUAACAUUGUUGUUCUUCAUUUUUAGUGUCAUAAUAUAGUUUGGUUUGCUGCUGGAAAUUAGGUGUUAAAUACAUGGUGUUCUUGUUGUGUUCUUGAAUCCAAGAGGGGUCACCAAAAGAGGUCCAUAGUUCCUUGAACUAGUGGACUGUUUUGGUGUUUGUUUUCUUGUGUUCUUAGGCUGUAUUGUAUCACAACAUUUACUUUUUCUUCUAAAAAAUAUAAUUUAUACAAGUGUCUGAUGCAGAAGACCAACUAGAAUAAGCUAUAUUUUAAAUUGUAAUAAAAAAAGGGGUUAUCUAGUAGAGUAGUGGGGUGUCCUAGUCAAGCCCGCUCUCAGUAGUAUGCCUACUCAUGUUAUGCAGUACUUUAAGAUCCCUGGUAAAAGUAAAAUCAAUGAUAUGUUUAACAAGUUCAGAGGGAUUUUAUCUAGGAAGGUAGUGCUGAGAAAAGAAAACUCCAUCUCCUUAGAUGGGAUAUGCUCACUACCUCUAAAUCCAAAGGGGGGUCAGGACUUCACAAAAGUGAGCUUAAGAACAACACUUCAUGCCAGGCUUGCUUAGAGGAUUUUUAAAAAUCCUAACAGCCUCUGGGGCUAAGACAUCAUCUCCAAAUACCAUAUCAAUGGUAAAACCUCCUAUAACAAGAAAAUUGCUUUUAGAACCUGGAAAAAUAUCCAUAAAGAAUGGGUUAACUGUACCAAUGGUAUUAGCUGGAGGGUUAACAAAGGAGGCAAGGUUAAAUUCUUAGAGGAUAGUUGGAUCCAUCACCUCGAAAGCAUCAGAAGCAUGACCUAAGGUCCUCUCAAUAGAGGUGAUACCACUAUCACCAUUAGGGAUUUGUAUAGAAAUAGGACUUGAAAUUCCUAACACAUCAAGGAAAUCAUCCUCAGUACCCUUUUGCCCCAGGUCACUAGUAAAGUGUAAUACCCUAUACUUUUCUUAGUCUUGUUUAGCUCCUAGUGUGUCAAGGAUCAACUUCAAAAGUGUAUAAUUCUUGAUACACAUAAAAUUUUCCAUUUCUAAACCAACCAAUGUAUAGAUAAUUGAGUUAGCUUUUCAACGAUAUCAAUUUCUCCUUAAUUCGAUACUCGGUUGAGAAGUUAUGACGCUUUUAGUAAAAAACAGUAAAACACCGCGAUAGUACCGCAUUGCGGUGAAGUUCCAGCUCACAAUUGUCCAUUUUUCAGUGAAGCACCAUACCGCGUCGUGGUGAAGCCCAAAUUCCCGUUUGUCCCUUUUCCAGUAACUUACCACGACUGGCCUGUAUCGCGCCAAAAUCCUUAAUAGGACAAUCACCGUGUCGCGGUGAAGUGCAAAAUGGGACUCGUCCCUUAUCCAAUAAGACCAUCGCAAUUACACUGCAUUGUGAUGUUUGUCAAAAUCGAGAUUAUACCUUAUUCAGUAUGGCACCGCGAUUGCCACCGCAUCGCACGGCCAAAGUCGGGAUUUCAGUUUCGAACUUGGUUUUUUUAGGGGCAAUCUAGUCUUUUUCCUAAUCCCCAAUUCGUGAAAAACAGGGAAUUAAACCCAUUCUAAGCACUUUAUGCAUAUUUUUCAUCAAAUUACUCUCAAAGAAACCUUAGAUCUGCAAAACUCAAUCCCUAAGAAAUCCAAAUUCCACCAUUCUUUUUUCAAAGUAACCCAAAAUUCAAGAUUUUCAAUUCAAAUAUUCAAGAAUCAAUCCUCAAGAGCACAAAUAGGAACCCAAAGUUCAAGUUUCUUCCUUUGUUCAUCAAUUAAGGUAUGUGGGAUUUUGAAUAAGGAUAAUUCUUUCAUCCUUGUGCCCAAAACUUAUUUUAAUUAUGAUUUUACAUAAAUAUACAUGAAUUUCAAUUUAGGGUUCAUACCCAAAUAUUGUUAUUUGAAGAGUAUGAUGUUUCAAGAGAAUUAGAUGUUGAUUUGCAUGACUAUUUUCGUAUUUUUAUGCGUAUGACAUUAUUUUCCAGAUUUAGAAUUUGAUUUAUCAAUGCUUUCAUUAUCAAGUAUGAACUUUAUGAAAUUUUGACAUGAAUUUGAUGCAUGGAUUAUUAAGCCCUAGUUUGAACAUUGAUAUUUCAAGAAUGAUUAUUCUUUAGGCAUCCUGUGAUUUGUUCAUUCUCAGAUUUUGAUAAAGAUUUGGCCUUUUGGUCAUAACAUAGAUAUGAAAUCCACUUUGUAGGUAAAUUUUAUUUUUUAACAAGUAGAAGCACAAUUAUAUUUCAGUAUGAAUUAUUAUGACUUCUAAAGUGGAUUUCCCACAAAAUGAGCAUACAUAUUAAAGGGAGUAGUAUUUAGCACCGAGCGGGAAGUGUGAGUUUAGCGCAUCCUACUUUCCUAGAAAUACGAGCCAACAUAGGUACAAUUUUAGAUUAUUUCCAUUUCUAUAUGGAUGAGAGUUACAGAUGUAAUCACUUAGCUCAGGUUAUACUCCUUGACAAGAGUAUGCCACCUCUCCCCAACAUGAAAUUUUCCCCUUAGGGGAACUAGACUUUGGACACUAUGACAACUCACAUAGUGUAUGUCAGUUAGAAGAACCUCCCUACUAGUAAAAAUAAUAAAAUUCCCUACAACUUAAAAACCUUACAGAACAGUUUUUAAAAAGAAUUCCCUACUAGAAAAGAAUAACAGAUAAUAGUUCAGUUUUUAGACUUUAAAUGGGAUGGCUCACCAGAUUUACACAAUAUGUUUUAUUACCCAUGAUUUAUGAUUUUCAGCUUUCAAAUAUUCAAGUCAUGUAAGUCAUUACAUUCGAGCAUGCAUAUUUUAUGAAUUUUGAUAAUAUUGAGAUAUUAUUUUUGCUUAUGAAUUCACCCUCACAUGCUCAGUACAUCCUCAAAGUACUGAUCCACAUAUACGUCUAUGUACUAUAUUUUUUAAUAAUAUAGGUUCAGGUGCUCAGUCACAACAACGUUAGUGAUUUUGGGCAUCUCUUUCUACAUCCCGACAGUUGGAGAGUCAUCAUGAUUCGAGGGCCUAUUUAUUUAGAUUUCUAACUUUCAUAGUAUUUGAUUAGUUGCUUUCAAUUCAGUCCAAGUCAGUUGGGGGUUUGUCCCAACGGCUCUUUAGUUCUUUAGUAAUAGAGGCUUGUCGAACUGCUAGUUAUUUUUCAGACUUCAGUAUUAGUUAUUUAGACAGUACAUUCAGUUGAUUUCAGUUCAGUUUUGACAUAAUUCAGUAGUGUUACUUAAUUAGUUACCUUGAUAUGAGUUUCAAAUCUAGUAGAAGGCUUGCAGGGUUAGCUUGAGACUACUCGUAGUCUUGAGCACCAUGUGACGUCUCAAGACCCAUUUUUGGGGUGUUACAAACUUGGUAUCAGUGCCUAAGGUUUAGAGAGUCCUAUGAAUUCAUACAAGCUGCGUUACGUAGAGCCUUGAUCAUAGGUAUGAAGCGCACCACAUUUAUGAGCAAGAGGCUACGGAACGUUUUAGGAAAUCAUCUCUUUUCUUUCAUAAUCCAUCGUGCUUAUAUCCAUCACUAUCUAAUUUUAACUUGUACUCUUUCAUGAUAGAACAUGCCUCAUCACAGAGCUAAUGCCCCCAAAAAUAAUAACCAGCCACCCCAGCCUGUUAAUCUUCUGAAUGAGAACAUGUCUCAUACCAAAUUUUGGGCUGCCUUUCAAGCAUUAGUCUAAGCUGAGACUGCCAAUGUUCAGGGCAACCAAUAGGCUGUAGUCCUACGUCAGCAAGAGGGUGAUUUAUCUGCAAUCAGACUUUGUGACUUCAUGAGGAUGAAUCCACCUGAAUUCUUUGGGUUAAAGGUAGGUGAGGACCCACAGUUGUAUCUUGAUGAGGUGAAAAAGAUCACUCAAGUCAUUCAUGUUACUAAAGAGAAAAGUGUAGAAUUAGUUUAUUAUAGGUUGAAGGAUGUUGCUUAUGAUUGGUUUAUUAUGUGGAAGAAAGGUAGGGGUAAAAAUGCAGCUCCCAUGAGUUAGCAGGUAUUUCAAGAUGUAUUUCUAGAUAGUUUAUUUCUAUGGGAGUUGUGAGAAGCAAAGAUUAAGGAGUUCAUAAACCUCAGGCAGGGCUCAAUGACAGUGAAGGAGUACUACCUUAAGUUCAAUCAGUUGUCCAAGUAUGCACCUGAGUUUAUAGCUGAUACUAGAUCUAGUAUGAGUAAGUUUAUUACCGGAGUGUCUGGUUGGUAGUCAAAGAGUGUAGGACUGCCAUGCUUAUUGGAGAUAUGGAUCUUGCUAGGCUGAUGACUCAUGCUCGGCAGAUUGAGGCAGCAAAGUUGAAGGAAAGAGAUAGAGGAAAUAAGAAGGCUAGAACUAGGCAAUUUGAGUUGGGUCAAUUAAGAUUUGCGGGGGGAAAUCGCUCACAGUUUCAGAGUCGCCCGCCUUUGUCGGUGCCAUCUUCAGCCAAUGCUCCCAUACCCAGAACUAAGUAGGAGCAGUGGGGGUAAGACUUCAAUGUCCAGAUCUUAGAAUAAUGUGGGUGGAAGACCUAGUUAUCCUACAUAUGCUAGAUGUGGUAAGAAUUAUUCUGGUGAGUGCUUUUUGGGUCAGAAAGGUUGUUUUGGAUGUGUUAAGUUGGGCCACGAUAUCAAGGGGUGUCCGUAUGCUAAGAAAGGAAGCAGGGAUAUUCAUCCCCAAACUUAGGCUACUAGUGUACUAGCUCCCGUAGGUCGCCCUGCCCCUCCUCAGGGCACAUCUUUCAGUACCGAUAAUGGUCAACGCCAGAAUCAAUUUUAUGCUUUACUAUCCCGCCAGGAGCAGGGGAGUUCACCAGAUGUUGUUAUUGGUAUGUUUUGUGUCUUUUAUUUUGAUGUUUAUGUGAUGUUAGACCCUAGGUUAAGUUUCUCUUAUGUGACUCCGUUAGUUGUGGUAAAUUUUGGGAUAGAUCCUGAAAAGCUUUCUAAGCCCUUCUCCAUUUCUACCUCAGUAGGCGAGUUAGUUGUCUCCAAACAAAUCUAUAGAAAGUGUUCUAUCACUGUCCUUCAUAAGAUCAUAUUAGUAGAUUUAAUAGAAUUAGACAUAGUUGACUUUGACCUUAUUCUUGGUAUGGUUUGGUUCCAUUCCUGUUAUGCAUCUAUAGAUUGUCGUACCCGAAUGAUGAAGUUUCAGCUUCCUGAUGAGCCAGUCUUUGAGUGGAAAGGUAAUUCAGUAUCUCCCAAUAGUCAUUUUAUAUCCUAUCUUAAAGCUAGAAAGUUGAUAUCAAAAGGGUGUAUCUAUCAUCUAGUUUGAGUCAAGGACGCUAAGUUUGAGGCUCCAAACGUUCAGUCAGUCCGGGAAGUAAAUGAGUUUCCAAAAAUCUUUCCUAAAGAGUUGCCAGGGGUACCUCUCGAAAGGGAAAUAGAAUUCAGAAUUGAUCUUCUUCUAGAUACACAGCCCAUAUCCAUUCCUCUAUGUAGUAUGGUUCCCGCCGAGCUUAAAGAGUUGAAAGAGAAACUCAAAGGCCUCUUAGAUAAGGGUUUCAUAAGGCCCAGUAUUUCUCCAUGGGGAGCUUUCGUCCUAUUCGUGCGUAAGAAAGAUGGUUCUCUGUGAAUGUGCAUUGACUAUCGUCAGCUGAAUAAAGUCACAGUUAAAAACAAAUAUCCUCUCCCCAAAAUUGAUGACUUAUUUGACCAACUCCAAGGUGUAAGUUAUUUCUCUAAGAUAGACCUUAGAUCCAGCUAUUAUCAGCUUAGAAUAAGGGAAUGUGACAUCUUGAAGACAACCUUCAGAACCCGUUAUGGUCACUUUGGAUUCCUAGUCAUGUAUUUUGGGCUAACAAAUGCCCCAGCAGCCUUCAUAGAUUUGAUGAACUAUGUGUUCAAAUAGUACCUAGAUAUGUUUGUCAUAGUCUUUAUCGAUGAUAUCCUUGUAUAUUCCCGUAAUGAUUAUGCAGACCAUGUUAGAAUUAUGUUGAAAACUUUUGGAGAUCACCAGUUAUUUACCAAAUUCAAUAAGUGUGAAUUUUGGCUAAGGUUAAUAGCUUUCCUCGAUCAUAUUAUUUCCAGUGAUGGCAUUAGAGUUGAUCCCCAAAAAACCGAAGCAGUAAAAAACUGGCCUAGACCCAUUUCUCUAUCAGACAUUAGAAAUUUCUUGGGUUUAACUGGCUAUUAUAGAUGAUUUGUUAAGGGGUUUGCAUCCAUUGUAUCUCCCAUGACAAAAUUAACUCAGAAGAAAGUUAAGAUUUCAGUGGUCAGAUUCUUAUGAGAAGAGUUUUCAGGAGUUGAAGACUUGACUCACUUCAGCCCUGUCUUAGCAUUACCUGAUGGUACAGAUGGGUUCGUUGUGUACUUGUGAUACCCCAAGUUUUCCCGUUAAAUAUUUCGGUCCCAAAUGUGUCGAGUCGUUAAAGCCUUUUUAUCUUUCCAAGAGUUCGUUAAGAUCUCGGACGAAAAUGUGUUGAAUUCUGUUCUUUAUCGUGAUUAAUAAUUUUUCUGUAUGGAAUUUCUCGAUAUGCGACCCGUCAUCGCGUAGAGCAUCAAAUAAUCUUUCCAACGAUAUGUGGAUCAUCCAAGACGAACACUCGAGCGAUGAGUUAUGAUCAUUUUGAUCUAACCGUGAAUAGUGGUGAACAGUAAAUGUGCAGGAAAAAAAUACUGAGGCCAGACAAAUUUUAGGGUUAACUUCAAACGAUCAUAACUCCUUUUACAUAAUGAUCUGGGUGAGCUACUAUAUAUCAACAGAAAGCUCUGAGAGUCCUCUUUCGAAUGAAAUUGGUUUUAUACAAUUUGUCCAUCAGAGCAAAAAGUUAUGGUCGAUCUACUUCAGCUUAUCAAAAUAGUCCACCAAAGGACAGAUUUGACAUUAUUUGAUUUUUAAGGGUAUUUUGGUCAUUUCCACUCCAAUCCAUCCGGGUAAACCAUGGAUUUAAGUCCAUUAAGAGCAUUCAAUAGCUCAUUUUUCUCCAAAAUUUCCUAAGGCUCAAACCCCAACCCUACUACUCCAAAUUUCAUCCUUCUAUGUCUCUUGAUUGAANNNNNNNNNNNNNNNNNNNNNNNNNNNNNNNNNNNNNNNNNNNNNNNNNNNNNNNNNNNNNNNNNNNNNNNNNNNNNNNNNNNNNNNNNNNNNNNNNNNNNNNNNNNNNNNNNNNNNNNNNNNNNNNNNNNNNNNNNNNNNNNNNNNNNNNNNNNNNNNNNNNNNNNNNNNNNNNNNNNNNNNNNNNNNNNNNNNNNNNNNNNNNNNNNNNNNNNNNNNNNNNNNNNNNNNNNNNNNNNNNNNNNNNNNNNNNNNNNNNNNNNNNNNNNNNNNNNNNNNNNNNNNNNNNNNNNNNNNNNNNNNNNNNNNNNNNNNNNNNNNNNNNNNNNNNNNNNNNNNNNNNNNNNNNNNNNNNNNNNNNNNNNNNNNNNNNNNNNNNNNNNNNNNNNNNNNNNNNNNNNNNNNNNNNNNNNNNNNNNNNNNNNNNNNNNNNNNNNNNNNNNNNNNNNNNNNNNNNNNNNNNNNNNNNNNNNNNNNNNNNNNNNNNNNNNNNNNNNNNNNNNNNNNNNNNNNNNNNNNNNNNNNNNNNNNNNNNNNNNNNNNNNNNNNNNNNNNNNNNNNNNNNNNNNNNNNNNNNNNNNNNNNNNNNNNNNNNNNNNNNNNNNNNNNNNNNNNNNNNNNNNNNNNNNNNNNNNNNNNNNNNNNNNNNNNNNNNNNNNNNNNNAUUUGAUUUGGUCUUUAUGAUAGACCCUUGUGAUGUUGUGGUGGAUUUCCUAGCGCGUUCUGAGCUUGUCGGGGAGUAGUACUUAGCACCGAGAGGGAAAUUUGGUAUUUCCCCAAACCUAUGUGCCACCGUAGGGUUGUUUGAUGAUGAUAUUAUUGGCCAGAGAACCCAAUUGUGAUUAUUGCAGUUUUUAGGUCAUACUCCCUGGUAAAGAGUAUGACGCUCCCGCCAACAGGGGUUUUGUCACGCCCCAAAAUCCCAUCGGGCCGGACUGGCACCCGAAGCCGAGAAGGUCCGGGAGAACCCGUUCAAAUACCUGUACUUUCACUUACAUGUCACCAAAGAAUUGGACAGGACAGCACGUCGUUGCAUAUAGAAAGGUCUAAUUACCUGUAUCAGCACAACACGCACAAAUAUAUAUAUAUAAUACUUGGCCGUCGGGGCCACCACAUAUACAAAUAUAACGUUACUAUAUAAACUUCCAUGACUUUACCCUUCCUUAUGUCUACAAAGCCUCUAGGAUAUACAUGACAUAACUAGGGUCGGGACAAACCCCCGCCCACACGUGACUCAUGUACAAUAACAAAACAUAAGGAACCGACUCGGAAAGCUCCGAAGCAAACUGGAGCUCACCAACAAUAGCUGUAUGACCUGGCUCCUACUUGUGCGGUGUAUGAGUUGAGGUACCUGUGCCUGCAGCAUGAAAUGCAGGUCCCCCGUGAGGGACGUCAGUACGAAAUAUGUACUGAGUAUGUAAAGCUGUAAAUAAUCACAUAUGAUAUAGGAGCUCAAUAGAAAUCAGAAACAAGUGAAUAAGUCGUAAUAGGAGUGGACCACACUUACUAGAACUUGUGACAACCUGUACAUUGUAUUUAUUCAAUCACUUUACCUUCGUUCUUAUCGUCUUUGUAAUCAUUACUGUACUGUACUGUGACCAUUAGGAUGCCUCCAGUACAUAUCAACUGGGAUCGACCCAUGCUAGGCUUAUGCCCCUGGGAUACCACCCAUAAACACAUGAAAUAGGGAUCGACCCAUGCUAGGCUUAUGCCCCUGGGAUACCACCCGAUAAGAGAGAACUUUCAUCACUUAGUUCAAUUAAUCUUUGAGAUUGUUAUUUCGGUCGUCACCACAUUUUUGAUACCUUGAAACAAUGAUACAUCAAUAGGAACCAAGUAAUAGACCUUCUAUACAAUAACGAUGUAAUAAGGACUCAUUGGUACAUCAACAAUAUGUUUCAGAAUCAUCAAUAUCACAACAAUGAAAUAAGAGCCUUUUGGUAUAUCAAUGAACAUUUUGACACUUUAUAGGAUGGAAACAACUUCGUUGGUAACGUAGAACAAUACAUGUUUUUGGACAACCUCGGAAUCUUACUUGAUGGAACAUUGGUGUUUUCAUGCCAAAGAACAUUGUUAGAGUAUGCUUUACAUACCUCGUUGUAGAUUCAGAUACCAAUUCAACACAACUUCCCGCCUUUACAAAUCACUUAUCUACAAUGAAAUGUUUGGCAUCUAGUAUUAGCAACCCAACACCACAAUUCUCUUCCAUAAUUCCAUACUACCAAUAUUUGCAAAACAUUCCAAAAACCAACUUGAACAAUAGGUUUAUGUGUGUAUAUGUAUAUAAUCAUCAUCUCAAUACCACAUCAUCAAUACCACAUCAUCACCCCAAAUUCCUUCACAAUUUAACAUAAUCCAACCAUGCACAAGAAUAAUCCAACAUCAUUUCCAAUCAUCUUUCAACAACAAUCAAAUAACAUACUUCUUAUGCUCACAUGCAUAUAUAUAUAUAUAUACAUAUCCAUAUAAAUAACACCAACAUAAUUUACAUCCUUACCAAAAAAAAUGGCCCUUUUGAUUUCGAAGUCCUGUUGGCACAAAUAAGGGGUGCUUCUCGAAGCCCUUGAGACGGUGAACACAACUACGGAAUCAAUUUGGAUUUUCUACGGUUGAAUCACAAGAUAAUUGGAGUUGAACUUAGGCUAGGGUUUCUUAUUCUUCAAUGAUUUGGAUGAUAAAUGGUGGAUAUAAGGCUAAGUAUAUGUAUAUAAUGACCAAUUUUCGUCCAUGAGGUGAUGGAAAAUGACCAUAUUGCCCUUAAAAAUUUAAGUAAAUCCGAAUCUGUCCAUGGUGGACUGUUUUGAUAGGCUAAAGUAAAUCGGCCAUAACUCUUUGCUCCGAUAUCGGAUUUGGGUGAAAUUGGUAUCGUUAGAAAGAUAAUUCAAAGGUAUUUCAUUUAAUAUAAAUUAAUCCACCCAGUUCGUCCUGUACAAGUAGUUAUGAUCGUUUGAAGUUGACCCUAAAAAUCUGUUUUGAGAGGCUGAAGUAAAACGAGUAUAACUCCUUACUCAGAUGUUGGAUUUGGAUGAAACCAAUUUCAUUGGAAAGAAGACUCAAAGAUCUUUCUUUUGAUAUAUGGUAGCUCAACCAGUUCAUUAUAUUGAGGGAGUUAUGAUCGUUCAAAGUUGACCCAAAAAACUGGCAGGCCUCAGUAGUUUCCUGCACAUUUUACUGUUCACAUCCCGGCCACCGUUUUAAAGUAAGUUUCUUGAAUUACCAAGUCACUCCGAGAUUUGAGUCAAAGAGUUGAGAUGUUUAUGAUGCUUUAUGGUCAUUUAUGAUGAUUUAUAAUUACCUAUAAUGAUUUUUGACGAUAUGAUAAUUUAUGAUGAUUUAGGAUGAUUUAUCAUAAUUUACGAUUUAUAAUGAUUUACGUGGCUUACUCGAUUUAUCAUAUGAGUUGUUUAUUAUGAAAUUAUGAAAAGUAUGAUUUGAUAUAACUCAAGCCAAGUGAGUCAUCAUUGUCCGUAUGCAUAUUUUCAUGAAAUUGAUUAUACUAUUUAUAUUGUUGCAUGCACCCCCACAUACUCAGUACAUUUNNNNNNNNNNNNNNNNNNNNNNNNNNNNNNNNNNNNNNNNNNNNNNNNNNNNNNNNNNNNNNNNNNGGUCGCAGCUCUCGAUCGGCAGGUGAUUAGUCCUUUUAAUUCAGGGACUUAAGUUGUUCAGAUUUGAGGUGUAUUGUAUUUUCUGUAUUCAGUCGUAUUGAGUAGGGGUAGUUGGGAGUCAUGACCCGACUAUCUUUGGUCAAUGCUAGUAGAGGCUUCAUAGACAGUCACUAGUAGUCAGUGUAUUCAAUUUCAGAUUUGUAUAUAUAUGAGCAGAAUUGUGAUCGUGUAAAUUUACUUUUAUGUUGGUUAGACUAAGUUAUGGGUUGUUUUCACAUUAUUCCAUCUAUUUUAUUUAUUUUAUUCAGUUGCUUUAUGUUAUGCCAGAUGAAGGGUUAACUUGGGGUUACUUGUGACCUUAAGCACCGUGUGACGUCUCGGAAUCUGAUUUCAGGGCGUUACAGUACUGUGAUACCUCUAGAGUUGGUUUGGAUCGUGUUUUUAUGCAAAGAAGGAAUGUCAUAGCCUAUGCCUCUAGACAACUUAAGCCUCAGGAAAAGAACUAUCCUACUCGUGAUCUUGAAUUAGCUGUUGUUGUGUUUGCUUUGAAAAUAUGGAGGCACUAUCUUUAUGGGGUGCAUGUUGAUGUGUUUACGGACUAUAAGAGCCUGCAAUAUGUGUUUAUGCAGAGUGAGUUAAAUCUUCGUCAGAGAAGGUGGUUAGAAUUGUUGAAAGAUUAUGACAUAAAUAUUUUGUAUCAUCCGAGCAAGGCCAAUGUUGUGGCAGACACCCUUAGUAGAUUAUCUAUGGGUAGUAUUGCUCAUGUAAAGAAUGAUAAGAAGGAGUUAGUUCAAGAAGUUCAUCAAUUGGCUAGAUUGGGUAUUCAUUUAAUUGAUUUGGCUGAGGGUAAUGUUUGGGUUCAGAGUAGUGCAGAAUCUUCUUUGGUUUCUGAGGUAAAGGAGAAUAAGAUCAGAAUCCGGUUCUAGUUAAGUUAAAGGAGUCGGUUAGAGAUCAGAAGGUAGAGGUUUUCUCCCGGGGGGAGAUAGCGUGUUGAGAUACCAGAGUAGAUUGUGUGAGUCGUGCAUUGAUGAUUUGAGACACCGAAUUAUGCUGAAGCGCAUGGUGUGCAUUACUCUAUUCAUCCUGGUGCUACUAAGAUGUAUCGAAAUUAGCAGGAAAUCUAUUGAUGGAUUGGUGUGAAGAAGGAUAUUGCAGAGUUUGUGGCUAAGUGUUCAGUUUGUCAACAGGUUAAUGUAGAGCACCAAAGGCCGGGUGGCACUUUGCAAGAGUUCAGUAUUCCCACUUGGAAGUUGGAAGAGGUGAACAUGGAUUUUGUAAUAAGGUUACCUCGUUCGCAUCGUCAGCAUGAUUCAAUUUGGGUUAUUGUAGAUAGGUUGACCAAAUAAACUCAUUUUCUGCCAGUUCAUACAUCCUACUCAGCUGAUGAUUAUGCUAAGCUGUAUAUCAGAGAGUUGGUCAGAUUGCAUAGAGUUUCUUCGUCUAUCAUUUCAGAUAGGGGUACUCAGUUUACCUCUCAUUUUUGGAAAGCCUUUUAGAAGAUCUUGGUACUCAAGUUCACCUUAGCUCAGCUUUUCAUCCGCAAAUAGAUGGUAGGCAGAAAGGACCAUUCAGACUUUAGAAGAUAUGUUGCGGGCAUGUGUGCUUGAUUUCAAGAGCAGUUGGGAUGAGCAUUUGUCGUUGAUUGAGUUUGCCUACAAUAAUAGUUACCAUGCUACUGAUAGGUGACCUACAUCUCCUCCCAUAAAGAGCCUAAUAGCUACCAUGCUAGUAUUCAGAUGAAACCGUUUUAGGCUCUUUAUGGGAGGAGAUGUAGGUCACCUAUCAGUUGGUUCGAAGUGGGUGAGGCCGCGUUGAUAGCGCCAGAUGUGGUGUUAGAAGCUAUGAAGAAAAUACAGCUGAGUAGAGAAAGGUUGAAAAUAGCUCAGAGUCGUCAUAAAUCAUAUGCAGCUGUGAGGAGAAGAGAUCUUGAGUUUGAAGUUAAUAACUUAGUUUAUUUGAAGGUUUCACCCAUGAAAGGGGUGAAAAGAUUUGACAAAAAGGGGAAGCUUAGUCGCCGCCAUGUUGGUCCCUACAGGAUAUUGAGCCGUGUUGGGAAAUUGGCAUACGAGCUUGAGUUGCCUGUAGACUUGUCAUCCGUUCACCCCUUGUUCCAUGUGUCCUUGUUAAGGAAGUAUAUUAGUGAUCCAGCGGUCGUAGUACCCUUAGAAAGCACAGACAUUCGCGAUAGCCUCUCUUAUAAAGAAAUUCCAGUUGAGAUCCUUGAUCGCCAAAUUUGUAAACUAGGAACAAAGAAGUUUCCUUGGUCAAAGUUCUUUGGCGGAAUCGAUCCGCUGAGGGAGCCACUUGGGAAGCAGAAGCGGAUAUGUGGAUCAAGUACCCUCAUCUUUUCACUGCAAACUCAGAUUCAGCCAAGGGUAACAGUCUUCCUUAAUAUUGUUCUCUUCCAGUCUCAGUUUUAGCUAUGUGAUUAUCUUCAUGCAAAUUCAUGCAUUCGUAGAUUAGUUCAGUCUCUCAGUAUGAUAUAGAUUCAGUCAUGCAGUUUUAACUCAGUUGUACAUGCCAGCAUGUAGUCUUAGUAUCCUCAGUUUAACUAAUCUCAUUCAAGGAUGAAUGUUUCCAAGAGGGAAAUAUUUUAAUAUCUGUUGACACCUAAUUUUUGCACUCCGUAUUUAAAAUUAACGUCUUCGAACUUCCUGAAUAUUAAAGGGCACAAAAUAUAAUUUUCACACAUUUUUUACAAUUGUUAGUAAAUUAUUGAUAUUCAUCCUUACUUUAAGAUUUUAUCAAUUUAUUUUUAUAUUUUUACUUUUAUAAUUUAUUGAUAAUUCUUUGUACAUUGAAUUUUUUAUCAAUUCAUUGUCAUUUUAACAUUUUUACAAUCAUCUGCACACGUACAUAACAUGACAUCACAUUUUAUAACAUUUUCAAAUUAAUUACAUUUUAAAAAUAUUUUCAACAUUCUUUACCUUUUCCCGUAAUUACAAAUCAAGUUCCACAAUUUUUUUUACAGUCCGCAAACGUUGAAUUAGAUCAAUUAUUUUUGUACAGUGUACUAAUUUGAUGUCUUGUCAUAUCUGACAAGAACUGCAAAUAAUAUCUUAUUACAUCCGACAAGUUAUUGAUAAUUGUCAUUAUUUUAGAAUUUUUACUAAUUUAUUAUCAUAUUUUAGUUUUACAUAACUAUCUUUAAUUUCAUAAAUUAUGGAAUUUUUAUCAGUUUAUUAUAAUUGCACAGUCAUCUACAUACGUACAUAAAAUAACACUAUAAUUCUUAUUAUAUACUAUAAAUUUUUAAUUAUUUAUGAUGCAAUACAUUAUUUUUCCAAAGAUAAUUAUAUUUAUUUAUAUUUUUUCUAUAAUAAUAUAUAUCGAUAUUUUAUUUAAUAUAAUCGACAAAAAUAAUAUUAAUUUAUUUUAUUACAUAAAAUAAUAAAUUAAUUAAGUCAAUAUCUCAUCAUAUUUAUGAUAUUUGACUCUUCCUUCACCUGCUAUCCUAAUUUAAGAAAUGUGUUGAAAAAAAAUAGAUGUUAUAUUUUAUUUUAUUAUUAUUAUUUAUUAAAUGCUCAUUCACACACACCAAACACAGACAAAAACACAUACAAAUCAGAUUUUUAUCUAUUCUCCUCUCAAAACUUACGUCUCUUUCUCUCUCUCUCUCAAAGCUCACUGCCGCCGCUCCACCGCUGACUCGCCGGAGGUGAUGACCGGAGAGCUUCAAUCGCUAAACCACCAUCACCAACACGGACACGAUCUGCUUUCCCUCUUCUCCGGUCAAAUCUGGCCGGAAUCACAAGUCACCGACGUUGCCUUUCCAGCCGCCUUCCUUUACCGGCGCGUCCCCUUUUCCUCCUUCGUUUCGCCGCUGGCUCGCCGGGGGUGGUUGUCGGCAAGUUCCAGUCAAACUCAGAACCACUGCAGGCUGGAAAAUGGCCAGAUCUGAUCGUAUUUUAUCUUUUCGACGUCACUCCGUCUGUUGCCGUUGAAGCGAUGCCACUACCGUUACAAACGGCCACCGCUGUUUUGGGGUCUUCCAUUUUAUGAAUCUAUUAAUGUGUUGGAUCUGAUCGAAAGACGCCAUCUCCGGCGAGCUCCCUUGAAUUUUAAUAUUCGUAUAUAUUUUCUGUGAUUUAUUGCAUUAUUUUGGGCUCCUCCGAUGAACAUCGUUGUUUUGGAAUCAUUUAUGGUUGUUUUAGCUGAUUGUUGCCAUAUUUUUACAUACUGACUUUGGUAUUCGGAUUGAUUUUUAUUUUAUCCACUUGUUGAUAAUUUUGUUAAUUUUUUCAACGAUCUUAUUUAGUAUUUGUAAAUUUUUGAUUGAUUUUAAUUUUUUCCUUUUAUUGUUGUACAAUUUUUACUACGCUAAUGGACUUUACAUUUUCAAAUUUAACUAUUAAUAUCAAAGGUCUACACCUGACCGAUGAAAUUAUCUCUCUAUUGGAUAUUUGAUUUGAGCGUACCCCAUUACCCAUUACAAAAGAUGAAUUUUAUUUUCUCAAAAUUAUUAGUUUAUAUUAAGAGUCGAAACUUGACCAAUGUAAUUAUUUCUCCGUCUAGAUAUUUGAGGCCAUCUCGUUACAAAAAAACGGACUUAAUUUUCUCAAAAUUAUUAGCUUAUAUCAAAGGUUGACACAUGACCAAUGAAAUUAUCUCUCCGUCUGGAUAUUUGAGGUCAUUCUAUUACAAAGACGGAUUUUAUAUUUUUAAACUUAUUAUUUAUUCUAAGGUUGAUACUUGGCCGAUGAAAAAAUUAUUCGUCGAUUUUUGAGGCCUUCACAAAUAAAAGACGAAUUUUACAUAUACAAAUACGUAACAAAAAUAAAUAUUUUCGAGUGAUUGGCGAAAUCUUUAUAAUAUUUUAAAAUUUUAUCUGAGUCUCACUUUUUUAACAAAAAUUUAUAUUUUAAAAUAUGUAUAUGCACAGAUACUUUUUAAUUUAUUUUGAUUAUUAUUUAUUUAUUAUUAAUAUUUUUAUUACAAGUGUUUAUACAAGUUAUUUGGAAUAAUUGUUAGGAUGACAUUCAAAGAAGACUUUAAAUUGUGUGUUUAUAUUUUUUAUAUUCUUACACUUGUACAAAUGUUAAUCAUAGUGAAAACUUUAUUUUUGAGGUGUUGGGCGGGAUAUUUUUUAUUUACGCAAUCUUCACAAUGCGUUUAGAUAAAUUUAGGUCGUUAAUAUUUAUAUAUAAAUAUUAGAUUGACUUAGAUUAUUUAAUCAAAUAAUUUAUACUUUUUACACUUAAAAAUAUUACGUAGUUUUUUUCUUCAGAACAAGUUUUUCUUUAUUUAAUUUUAUCUUUUCUUUAUAUACAUAUACUAAUAUACUUUUGUUUAUAAAUUUUUUUACGGUAAAACAUAUAUAUUAUUUUAAUACACUUACAUAAAAGAAUUAAUUUAAUCAAGUAAUUCACAUGUUAUGUAGUCUUUUCUUCUCAAAUAAAUUUACUUUUUUUUUCGUAAUUUUAAUCAGAUAAAAAAUAUUACUUGUAAAUACUUUUUCUUUUCAUGACAUAUCAAAAUACAUUUCUUUUCACACAUCGUAAAGAUUUUUCUUUUCACAUGUAUUUAUACAUUUUUAUAUAUAUCUUUUACUUAUUUUUAUAAGAAUAUGUUUUAUAUAUAUAUAUAUAUAUAUAUAUAUAUCUUUACAUAGUUUUAAGACAUUUAUACUUUUUUCAAAAGAAUUAUUUUAUACUUGAUACAUUCACUUUUUACAUUAUUUUUAAUAUACCUCCUCCUCUUUGAUAAAUUUAGUCUAAUCGGAUACCAUAUUUGUGGAUCCUGAAGUGUGCCUAACUCCUUUCCUUUGGGAUUAUUUGAACUCUUACUUAAAAUCUCAACUGGUUUUCGCAGACUGAAACAUAAAUCGCACAUAUUAAUAAUUCAAUAGGUUUCCUUAUUUUUCUUUAAAAAUUAGGUGACAACUCUGUACAAAAUUAUAAUUUUUUUUAGAGUCCAUAAGUCGUGCUUGUUUAACCAUGACGAAAAUAGGGCAUGACAAUACCCCAUACUUUUCUUAGUCCUGUUUAGCUCCUACUGGGUCAAGGGUCAAUUUCAAAAGUGUAUAUAACUCUUGAUACACAUAGAAUUUUUCAUUCCUAGACCCACCAAUGUGUAGAAAAUUGAGUUAGCUUUCCAACGAUACCAAUUUCGGCUUAAUCCGAUACUCGGUUGAGACGUUAUGACGCUUUUAGUGAAAAGCAGUAAAACACCGCAAUAGUACCACGUCGUGGUGAAGUUCCAGCUCGUAAUUGUCUAUUUUUCAGUGAAGCAUCGCGAUUAACCCUCGUUGUGGUGAAGCCCAAAUUCCCGUUUGUCCUUUUUCUAAUAGCU